Non-coding RNA from Podarcis lilfordi (Lilford's wall lizard), 60055 nucleotides. The record is from the annotation of a GenBank genome assembly. Lineage: Eukaryota; Metazoa; Chordata; Lepidosauria; Squamata; Lacertidae.
GGGGGAGGGACGGCUGGUGAUAGCUGCAGGACGGGCUGCGACAGCGGGGGCCUGUGCGCCUGGGAGGGGUGGAGAUAGCCCCCGGGGGAGCGGCGCCCUCGGGGGGAAGCGAGCGAGCCAGCGGCGGGUCGCCUCAGAGCUGCUCCUGUUUUGGCGGGAACGCGGGAGGAGCCCCGUGGAGCGGCACCUUCGCGGGCGGGCAGGUGGGCUGGAGAGAGGGCAGCGCCCCGCUCCUCCCCCACCUCGCACCCCGCUCCGAACUGGGCGGCAUCUCUGCGAAACUGACGGGCAGCCCAGCCAGGCAGAAGCCCCUCAGGUAAGCGGGGUGGCGGGAGGUUACUGCGCGCGCGCGUGCAGAAAGCGAAGUGUGUUUGGGAUACGAGGGGCGAGUUCUUUCCCUUCCUUAAAAAAAUGUUUUAGUCCCCGUCUUGCUCGGAGCCCCCACCGAGCUGGCCGACCACAAAUCCCAGCGGCGACCGGAGUUUGGUUUUUGUGCUCUCCCGCCCGCCAAAUCAACCACGUCUGCAGGCAGCUUGCCGACCACCAUGCUCCUGUUUCUCUCUCUCAAUUUCUCCUCUCUGGUAGCGCUGAACUUGCCCUGCUGCUGCUCCUGGAUUUCAUAAGAGAAUAUUGAAUUUCUGAGGAAAGGAGGGAGGGGUGCGAUGGCAUGAGGGAGAAGCCGAUUGCUAAUGCCUCAGCGGGCGGGCGGGCGGGCGCGCGCUCUUCUCCGCCCGCCCCGCUCCCCUCCUUCCCCCGGGAGGAGAGAGAGAGAGAAGCGGGGAUGUUAUGGAGAGCGAUGGGCUGACAGAAGGCUGCUGCUGCCAAGAGCCGAGGCUGUUUUGAAAACAUCGCCACCCGGCGCUCCAGGCGGCGGCUCUCUAGCCAUAUGCCUGGAGUGACGCUUCCUCUGGUGGGCAAAUGCUGGCUAGCAAAGCAGCAACCGGCCUCGCCUCGGAGUGGGAAUACUCCCCUCCACGCACAAGCACCAACACUUGCACCCUCGUAGUGGGAACGCUGCAUCCUCAGCCGAGGCUGCAUCAGGUUGGAGGGAGAGAGAGAGAGGAGCUCAUGUGGGGAAUCUUUUGGCAGCGGCCCAGCGCUCUGACUGAAGAGGUUAUCGAAAACAAGCUGGCUUGGGAGUUGAAAAAAAGAGUGAGGAAGUAUGUUAGCCGAAGGGAGCUGACAGGCAGGAAGUGCGACCCCUUGAUUGUUUUCUUUGUUCCUUUCCUCUUCCUAAUCACCUCUUCCCCCCCCUCACCCUUCUCUUCUUCACAAUCACUUCCCCUAAGUUUCUUAAUUUUUACUGAUACUCAAAUGCCGCAGUAGCUUUUGCCGCUUCGCUAAUUUCACUGCCCCCUCUUCUGCAAAGUCAGCUCCUCUGGAACCUGGGCUGCAAUUCUUGCUAACACUUGACAGAAUAGGCAGCUUGACUGAAGAGAGUGAUUCAGCACCGGAGGUGACCUGAGGGCAGCUGAUAGCAGAGCGAGGAGGUAAGGACUUCCUUCCCCCUCCCCAUCCCCACAACAUUCACACACCUCCAGAACACUCCUUCCACCGCAGGCCCAUUGACUUUCAUGUGGUUGCUCUGGAGCAAAUGGGCUGUAAAUAGCUGCCUUCAAAAUUAUCUUUAGAAAAAUAUAUAAUCUGUGAAUGUCUCAUGAAAGUAUAUCUAGCAUUUCAAAUUGCCUUUUUCACUUCACUGUUGUAUAAAAGGAAACUAAGCUAAAAAACAACAACAACAGUAUUGAGCUAUAGAAUUUUUCUGUAAUCAUACUUUUAACUUCCAAAGGUUAUCAACACGUUUUAACAUGAACAUGGGUUUCUUAACCAAAGGAUGUUGUAAACAGAACUAUGAUAUCUGCUGUAUCUGACCUCCUAGGGGAUAUAUGUAGCCUCCAACUUAACAGGGUGCAAGCCAAAAGGAUAAAUAUGCUGCCUAAAAUUAUUCACUUGGUGAUGUCAAGAUUUUGAUAGAAAAUAUCAAAUCCCAACAUAUUUCAUUUCCUGUGCUCUUCAGUGGACAUUUGCAAUAAAUAAAGGAUGAAAGUUUUGCUUCUUCAGUCCUUAGGUUUUGUUGAAAUAGCCUUAUCAGGUGUGCAUAAUUGGGUUUGACUUAUCUGAAAUAAUUACUGACCUUGUAUUCUAGCUGGGCAAGUAUCCUUCCAACACUUACAGUGUGAAUCUGGGCAUGAGUUCAGUGGGGCUUACUCCUGUUGACAAGUUUUCAUUAGAAUGAGGCUUCAUAUUCUGAACAUGCCUCAUAACUGCAUCAAAAUCUUUCACUUUUUCUGAUCUGAGACCCUCCUUUAACCAAACAUGUUAAGAUCCUCUCUUUUUUAGCAUAUAAUUGUAUGGUGGCAGUGCUGCUGUUUCAACCCACCUUAGAUCAGAAUCUUACCAGGUACUGGGUCCCAACCUACAAGAUGAAGACCAAUGGUCUGCAUCAAAUACAUGAAAUUUUAUCCUGAGUUUCUGGUUGCAGAGUGAGGAAAGGAAAUUGUCAAAACUGAGGUCAGAAGUAAAUGAUAUGCCAGAAUAUCUGUGUUAACAACAACUGUUUUUUGUGAAUAACCCCACUGAUGAUAAUGUUUAUAUUUUUCUACAAUUCGUGUCCUGACCUUUCUGGAAAACACUUCAUGCAUCGAAAAAGCUUGUACCAUAAUCCAUUUAUGUGUUAAAGUACCACAAGACUUCUUGUUCUCCUCCCCCCCCCUUUAUCACCGCUGGGAUAUUUUAAAUUUUCUUUUUGCAGACUCCAUGGAGUGAGUUUUACAUGUUUGUAUCCAGCAAGGUCAUUCCAUUAGCACAAGGAGCUUUGCCUGUGUGAUGAGACUUCCUGUCUCUGCAUGCCCUUGGGGCCCCUCCAAUCUGCUCUGGAGUGUAGAAGUAACCCUCAGAGUAGAUGUAGGGGCAUGCAGGGAGAGGAAGGCUCAUUUUGAAGACAGACAUAAGAAGAGGUUGCUGGAUCAGGCUAGUAGCUCAUCUAGUCCAUCAUCCUGUUCUCAUAGGAACCAGCCAGAUGCCCAUGGAAAGCCCAAUAGCAGAACCUGAGUGCAACAGCACUUUCCUUACUUGUCAUCCCAGCAUCUGUCAUAAAGAGGCAUGCUGCCUCUGACAAUAGAGGAUAUAGCCAUUGUAGCUAGUGUGCAGAAGUCCUUGCACUAAUGGGAUGACUUUGUUGAAUACUACCCUUAGUUUAUAUGCUCCUACAAUUUUGUACUUAGGUUACUCUAAUGUGAAAUAGUCAUUGAUGGUGCUAUAUAAAUUAGAAUAUUUUUUUUCUUUAAUGACAGUAUUUUAAUAGAUCAGUUGGAAUAAAAAGACUUAAAUUCACUGAUUUCAAUGGGUGUACUAUGGUAAAUAUUGGAUACCACCCUAUUGUUCUUUGGAAUGCUUCCCCAAUAGGGGUUCAGCAGGCACAGUUCCUUUCUUUAGAGGGGAAAAAUAACCAAGUUAUUUUUGCAGCUGUUCUGCCUGCUUUGGUCAUGUGAUGCUUACCAGCAUAAGGAGAAUAUUUGAGUUAAGUCUAUUGGGAUUUUUUUAGAUUUCCUUUUUGACUUGAAUUGUUUUAGUUUGUUUUUAUUAUAAACUGGCUUGGAAGGUCUUGUGGUUAAAAGGUUUCCUAUAAAGAUAGGAAAUCAAUAUUGAUGGGGCAAUGUCUUUUAGAGUUGCUGCCUCUCUCUCUCUCUUUUUGGUAAGUAUUCUGUGCCUUUAACUAUCUUGCUUAAUCACAAGAAACAUUUUCUUUUCCCAGGAACUGGGUCCUUAUUUGAAUAUUCAAACCAAACCCCUUUACUUUUCAAAGUCAUGUUAUUUGUUUUCUUUUAGGAGCAUCCAACACAGACCAUAAUAAACAUCUCUCUUAGAUAUUUUCCAUCUGCCUGUUAAGAACUUCCCCCACUUUCUACUCUCUGGGGAUAUCAGGAAUAGCAUCUACAGAGCAGAGUUCAUUAACAGGUUAAUUAGGUUAACUUGUCAGUCAAGGAUAGCUACUUUCCCUUGGCUGGACAGAAUCACCUCAAAACGCCUCUCUUAAGAAACAGGAAAAAUAAAGCAUUGUGUAAACUGGCUUAGAGGUUCUCUAAGAACAGCCUCUGGUUUGCUGGAUGCUGCUGGGUUCCUGCCUGCAGUGUUUAGAGAGAAAUCACAAUUCUUCCCAGGAGCUUUAAACAGCCUAUUCACUUCAUUGCACCAGAUGAAUUAAGAAAGCUUGCCAACUAGGAGGGAGAAAGAGCAUAUUUAUAGCAUCAGUAUCGCAUUCAAGUUCUGUUUGCACAAAAGCCAAUUGCAAGCUGCCUGUGAAUGAAGAUGCAGGGAAUUGACUCUGGCCAGUUAGACAAACAGGAAAUUUCAAAUCAAACCUGAUUAAAUAAGAAAUCUUAAAAUGUUGUUUUUGAUUACUUGCAGUAAGGCAUACUUAUGGCUGUAGCCUUGUCAAUUCCCUGACAAUGAGCAGAAGAGAUUCAUCCUUACAUAAGGCAGUUCUCAGAAAUCUAGGUCCUUUGGAUUACUUAGAAUAUGUUGUAUUUCCCCCCCCCCCCCCGAUAACUUUGGGCAGUUUUUUUUUAGUAAUCUUUAGAAUUCUUAUCCUUAACACUACUUUAGUAGCAUGGGUGUGGCGAGGAUUUAUUUUAGGGGGAGGGCAGGCAUUAUGUUGCGGGGGCAGAACCAAGUUAUCUGCAACACAAUGGUCAGUUAGUUAAGUAUUUUUAUUUAUUUACUUGAUUUGGGUGGUGCGGCUGCACCCCCUGGCUAUUCCCAUGUAUUAGGUAAAGGUAAAGAGACCGCUGACCAUUAGGUCCAGUCGUGGCCAACUCUGGGGUUGCAGUGCUCAUCUCGCUUUAUUGGCCGAGGGAGCCAGUGUACAGCUUCCAGGUCAUGUGGCCAGCAUGACUAAGCCGCUUCUGGCAAACCAGAACAGUGCAUGGAAAUACCAUUUACCAUCCCACUGGAGCGGUACUUAUUUAUCUACUUGCACUUUGACGUGCUUUUGAAAUACUAGGUUGGCAGGAGCAGGGACCGAGCAAUGGGAGCUCACCCCGUCGUGGGGAUUUGAACUGCCGAACUUCUGUUCGGCAAGCCCUAGGCUCUGUGGUUUAACCCACAGCGCCACCCGUGUCCCAUGUAUUAGUAGUUAGUUAAAGCUUUUAAGGAAUGGAGGCUUUACCGUGCAAUACACAAAAAGGCGCAAAGCCCUUAACAAUUCAUUUGAUGGAACAGGUGGGCUGAGGGAAAAGUCGGAAAAUCUCUUGUUCUUAUUUAAUGAUUGACCACUUUUCCUUGGGAAGGAACCAUGUGCAUUUUGAUCUGAUCUAGCCAGGCAAUGAUUAUUUUCUCAAAGAUUCAUUAUUCUGUUUCCAUCAGCAGCCAACCUGAUGCCUUGGAAAGCUGUUGGCCAUGCCCCAUUUGUCCUGAGUGUUUUAUAUUCAUCUUCUUUCUCCCAUAAGCUAAACAUUUCUAGCUGCUUUGUUAUUUCUUUGUAGGAAAGGCACUUUAACUCACUCCCUAGUCCACUGACAGCACACUGCUGGUUGAAGCCCAACUCCCAUUAGCUCCAGCCAGCAUGCUCAGUGGUCAGGGAUGAUGGUAGCUGUAGUGCAAUAAUCAUCCGGAGAGCCAGAGGCUGCCCACCUCUAAAUUAGAGAAAGCACAGCACAGAUAAAGAAAGUCAGAUAAUCCAAAGUGGGUAAAGGUCUCCAGGUAGGUCUCAAGAAAGGAGAGUCUCAACAUGUGGUAUAACAAGCUCCCUUCCUUGGAAGGACAAAAUUUAAUUGUGAAAUGAGUCUGGCUACUUGGGUCCAUUCUGUGAGUUAACAGGAUGGUCAAGAGUGCCUGUGGGUUGUUGUUUUAUAAAUCCAACUGUGGCAGAACCAGAUGGGGCCAAGGACAAUGUGGUGAAAAUCUACUGAGAGUUGCCUUUUUCACUGUCACCAGUAGGUCCGCAUCUUCAGAGAUGCCAUAUUUUCCAUACAGUUGUGCUGCAAUCUUAUAUGCUCUAACUUGGAAGUGAGUCUUUCUGAAUUUAAGGGAAUUUACUUCUGAGUAGAUAUGCAUAUUAUUGAAACCUGCCCAGUGGAACGCCCUCCCAUCAGAAGUCAAAGAAAUAAACAACUAUUUGACUUGUAUAAAAUUUCUGAAGAUAGCCCUGCAUAGAGAAGUUUUUAAUGUUUGAUGUUUUAUUGUGUUUUUAAUAUUUUGUUAGGAGCUGCUCAAGAGUUGCUGGAGCAACCCAGUCAGUUGGGCAGCAUAGAAAUAAUAAAAUGAUGAUGAUGAUUGGGUUUACAAGACAGAAGAUACGUUGCACUAUUAUAAUUUCCUUUGUUGUAUAAAAUAAGUUAAUGUUCAUAUGUCAACAAACUAACACACUUUUAUUAAUUUUGGUAGAUUCACCCCUUGUUUCUCCUUUCUAUUUGUUUGGGGUAGGGUUGUCCUAUUACAAGACAGAAAGAAGGCAUAAAAAGACCUCAAUAAGCAUUAUUUUCUAGAAGUAAUAUCAGUAGCAACACAUAGCAUGGAAAACCAUUUUGCUGCCGCUCUUUGAAGUAUCCAAAUAGUUAGCCGUUGCUGUGUGAUGAGCUGCCUUGUACCAUCAGGAUUGACUCCUUCCUUUCUGGCCAAUCUGCCUUCUAGUCAUAAUCUCUGAAAGCCAUGACUAGAAUUUCGUUCAAGAAGCUGUAGAAUGGAGGGGCUAAAUUGCAAUUCCAGUUAAUGGUACUUGAACCCAUGUCAAAGGAAACCGAUAUUGUGCAGCUGAAAUUGAAUUCAGUGUCUUCUUAUAUCUCAAAUGACUCUCUUCUGUCCAGUUUAUAAGGCACGGCUAGAGGUUAAAGGGAAAAACUGGUUUUCAAUUUGUGAGUGCCUCUAUUUAUUAAGAAUUGGAAGAGGUAGAAAGCAAGUCCCCAGCUUGAAAGCAAGAUAUAUUUUGGGUCCCCUCCAUUUUCUUCACACACAACAGUUUUCAUCUUAAGGCGUAAUUGUCUGCCACAUAAUUAAAUAUAGGCAUUUUGAGGAAAUGUGCUGCUCCUUCUUUACUAAUGUGUGGUUCUGUCAAUAAACAUUACUACAGUAUUAUAUGGUCUGUAGUACUCUGGGUGUUUCUUUUCUGCCAGUUAAUCUGUGGUUUGUCAAAUACAGUGGUACCUCGGGUUACAUACACUUCAGGUUACAUACGCUUCAGGUUACAGACUCCGCUAACCCAGAAAUAGUACCUCGGGUUAAGAACUUUGCUUCAGGAUGAGAACAGAAAUUGUGCUCUGGCAGUGGGGCGGCAGCGGGAGGCCCCAUUAGCUAAAGUGGUGCUUCAGGUUAAGAAAAGUUUCAGGUUAAGAACAAUCCUCCAGAACAAAUUAAGUACUUAACCCGAGAUCCCACUGUAGCUACUCCACACACACACACACAUACACUUUCAUUUUUUACUUCAAGAAACUCUGCCAUCAUUUGCAAUGUUGGGCUUCAUGCUCUUAUAUUUGAUUUGCAGUACAAUAUGUUUUCCCACUGAAAGCGUGCGUUGGUCUGCAUAGGUAUUCUGAAAUUCCUUUUUCUUUGUUUCCUUGUGUUGUUACAGUUUAAGAGGAAAGGAAUUAAUCUGUGCAUAGUGUUGGAAUGAAUUCACGACAGUUUCCUUCUACGGUUAUGGUGAAUUACAGUGGCAAUCUGAGAAGCCCUAUCUAUGCUAUGGCUUAUGAUAAUGCAUCAGCUCCAUUUACAGAAGUAUUGUGUAGUGAGAAUUAAUAUUCAUUAAUACUUUUAAGAAACAGAAGGGGUUUUGCAACACUUGGUCAUACCUAAUCCCAAAUAAAUUCAUACCUUUUCAGAGGCAGUAAUACAUAUUAACUUCGGUUCUUUUGUGUUCUUGUGUUGUGUACAAAUGGAGGGUAAAUGUUCAUGACUGCCUUUGGAGGUAGAGCUGACUUCUGCUUCUUUGUGAGGAGAUAGUUCUGAAAGCAGCAACAUUGGAAAAAAAGUCGAUGGAGAGUCAUGCUUCAAGCAGCAACUUGCUUUUUCAUCUACCUUGUUCAGGGUGGUGGAUCUGGGAAGACGGCCUAGCAUUAAGUCCAAACAAGCUGCUUUGGCAUAAAGUGAGACUUAAAAUUGCUCCUUGUUAAUCAUUAAAUAUAAUUGAAAGAUUUGGGGCAUAAAAAGUUUUGGUGGUGAUAACUAGUAUAAAUUUGGUUGUGUCUUUAGGGGUAAAAGUGAGUAAAUUGUUCUUGUUAUAUUUAUGCAGCUAAUUUCUAUUGAUUGUGGAACAGUAAAUUGUUUCAUGGGUGGUUGUUGUUUUUACUGAGCACUUUAAAUUCUGUAUGUUGACAUAGUUCCUUUGAAAAUACUGUAAAUAAAUACCACAACUUUUUUGUUCAGAUUAAGUCAUAAAGGGUUGCAGAGUAGCGAUGAGAUAACAGUUGCACUCGGGCUCUUAACUGCAGGAUAGCCAACAAUGAAAAAAUAUAAUCUACAUGUUUAAUCAUAGAGGGAUGGAUGGAUGGAUGAUAGACAGAUAGAUUAAAAAUACUGCUUCUCAGACAGGUUUAUUUCUAAAAGUGCAUUUGGUAAGAACUUAAGCCAAAGAGGAAAAGGGAGAGCCAUGGCUCUUUAUAUGAAAACCAUGUAUGUAAACAGUGUACUACUCCUUAAUCAAAUUUAAUCUAUUGCCUUAGAGGAGUGAGGAGAAGAUAUUUUUGAAUGUAAUAAAUCCAAUGAAAAUGCCCCCUCCUGGUGGCAGAAGUAAAUUAAAUCACCAAAGAAUGUGUAUUAAAGUAAUGUGAUGCAGUAGGCUUCUAGCAUAAUGCACAGGGAUUUAACCAUGUGACUCUAUUAAGAGUAAUAGUGCUGCUAUAGCUAAACCUUUCCAAUAACGCAUGGAAAAUUUAUUCCUCUGAUUCUAGUUUUGUAACCACAAGCCCCAAACAACUCAGCAUUUUAUUCAGCUCACUUUCUGAAGAACUCAGUUCUUUUCAGUUAAAAAGCAUAACACAAGUUGGUGUGCUGGUGAAGAAUUGGUUAGAUGACUGCUCAUGAACUAGGUUUAAAUGUCCUUUCCAUUUAAAUGGUCAUUAUUCAAGGGCAAAUGGGAACAAAAUACAUUUGAUCCAUUUACUGAAACCAUUACGGUGCUCAGUCUCACCACUACGAAGCAAGAGGAAAUAUGCUUCACUUCCUGUUUUUUUAGGCUACAUAAUUGGUCCCGCUGGAGUUCAUUACCUAGCCUCACCAAAAUAAGCUUGUUCAGAUGAGAAUUCCUUGGAGGUAAGGGUAUUCUAACAUAACAUAGGAUAAUUCUCUCAAAGCCAGAGUUUGUAUUCUCUCAUGCUUGCACAUGUAAACACAGAGGUUCCUUAUCAUUGAGCAUGCUAAAGUGAAUUGUAUGGUAAAUAUGAUUGUGAGCCUAAUUCACACUUCUACUAGUUUUAUUGUCUGAAUUGUUGUGAAAAGAGCUACAAUCAAAGUAGUGUUAUGGGAAAUGUGUCAAGAAUGCCCUGUUCAGUUCUUACGGUGUCAGUUAUAACAUGCCGAGCUAUGGCUCAGUGCCUGCUGCUAAGUUGUCCAGCAUACUAAUACUCCAUGAUGCAUCAGGAAAUAUCCUACUAUCAGGCACUGCAAUAAGUUCGGACUGUAACUGAACUGCUCUCUGAACUCCUUAGAAAAUCCUCCUUCCCCACCAACACACAUGCUGCUCACGGGUUUAUCUCCUAUUCCAGGAAAGUGCAUGUAUACAUGAAUUUGCCUGUCCAAAGCUGACACAGCUUCUGCAACCCUUAUUCCCUCUGCGUAUUUCUACUUCUUCCUUUCAGUAUGCCUCGUAUUGCUCCGUCAGUGUGGGAUGCUUGGCAGACACAAGUAGAAACUUCCAUGUACAAAGCAGUGUUCCUCUGAAUACGAAAUUAGGUGGAUGGCCAAUCACCUUCAUGCCCUGAUUGUCCAAAGAUGUCUGACUGGCUAGUCUUGGGAUAGCAAUACUGAAUUAUGUGGGCCUUGGUUUGGCCCAACAAGUACUUCCUGGUGUUUUGAAUUGUGCCCUUUAGUAUUUGAAGUAGUUGGAGAAGCUGUUUAGAAAUUUUCAGGCUCUGCCUGGACCGCCUCAAACCUGGAACUCCUGGGAAAUUUUACCAGUCAUUAUUUUACGUCACAGCUGGUGUGACUAUCUGCUCUAUCUCCUGAAAGUGUGGCGCUAGAGGGCACUUUCAAGGGGUCUUAGCAGAUACUCAAAGUUAGCCCUGACAGUAGAUUGGACUAUAAAGAACCACAAAUUAAACAGAUGUUCCUAAAGUAGGUUUUAAAUCAUAUCAUCAUUGUUAAAGAAUUGUGUGCCAUAUUUCUUCAGCUUGCGUGUGCAAAUGCAUUUCUAUUCUCUACCAUUUUGAUAACUAUUGCCCUGAAUCCACAGAUCUGUUCCCAUUGACAUUCUCUGACCAUCUGCAGUUCAGAUGUUGAGUAAAAAGUGCUGUCGUAGUUCCCCCUCCUCUCACAGAUUUAUUUACUCAUAGCUAUUGUGCUGCAUAAGGGAGAGUCACAAGGCCCCGUGUGGAUUUUUCCAAUGUAAUUUUCUGCUGAUUAACUACUGUAACAGUACAGCUUGUGUCUUGAUUCAAUUUUUCCUUAACUGCAUCUGAAAUUAAUGCCCAGUGAUUAAUAUUUUACUGACUUUCUAAAAAGAUGGUCAAAAGGUUCCUGUGAUGUUAAUUUGGUGAAUUCUUCUUUCGAUAUACAGUAUGUAUAAGGCAGCCUUGGGAAAGGGGGUGGGGAAGUAAAACUCUGCUAUCUGAAGUGAAUGCCCAAGGUGUAUCUCAGAAUAAUACAGCCCAUGGAAACCAUCAUGUUGCAUUGGUUAACCUGUGACCAUUUGUGUUAGGCACCACCUGAUUGGAGAGCCAGGAGCAACAAGAUGAUUGGAGAGCCAGGAGCAACAACAUAGCUCCCUUUUUCCAAAAUGAUGGGCAGUAGCUCAUAAGACUUGCUAGUUUUCCAGAUGCAGUUUUUCCACAAGUUCCCCACAGGUUUUCCUGUUCUACCAUAAGAAAAGUGAAGUGUACCUCAGUAGUUUACAGUAGUAGUUUAAAGAAGGAAUGAAAGUGAGAGGCAGCCAUUGUUGAAGCUGCUCUCCAUCCUUGAUCACUGUUGGCAGGAGUAAGUGAGGAGGAUUCAGUGAGUAAGAUUUAACACUUUCUUUUCUCAAAGCUGUAUAGACUAUGGGACUGAAAAGCUUAGGAUUCCAACCACAAGGAAAUAGACCUGGAGCAAUUGCUCCUGUUGGCAUCAUGUAUAUUCCAUACUUACUUCCAUAGGAUAAAACUAUGAUUCCGUAUCUGUACCACCUUAGAAAGCUAAUACAGGAGAUUGUAAGCUAAAUGCAACUCAUCAGAAGGUUGUGCUGUGGUUUUCAUUCUGAAGAUUGAUAUUGUAUUGUUAUGAGCUUGUGCCUGGUGGGGGGGAGCCCCCUGAAUUUGUUACAAUUUAGUAAAAGUUAGAAAUAAUCAAAGUUUGGUUAAACUUUGCCAAACACAGAAACUUUCUGGAUUUGGUAAUGCUAAGGAGCCAAGCCAGCUGGGCAGAGCUACCUGGAUGGGCCAUAAGCAGGGAACAAAAGCUAGUGAUAACCCAUCAAGGAAACCGUCAAGAGGGCAAGACUACCUGACAAAGAGGAGUGGGAGCCCUUCUUUGCUGGGUGCUAGUGGGCAGAGACAAAGGCCAGGUUUAGUGUUUCAACUUUGAAUGACAUAGGCUUUGGGGGGGGGGGCAGAAUCCUUGGAGCUGGUUAGCAAUGAAAAGGAGAAGGGUGGCAGAACUCCAAGUGAGCUGGGGGUGGCAGGUUGAACAAAGAGACACAGAGGGUGGCUUUUUGCUUUCCUUGGAAUCCAGUGCUUCCCUUAUGAGGGAAGGCAGACCCACACAGGAUGUGAAUGCUCUGCAGUCCAGUCCCCCCACCCUCUUGGUGCAGGUUGUAUACAUGUGUAAAUAAAACCAUAUAUCAUAAAGACACCACAGUCUUUGCUGUGCCUUAUUCCCAAAAGGAAACACACACCCUGAGUUAGUGUAUGGGAACCCUGGAAUCUCACACUGCUCGUGGAGAUUGGGGUGGCAUGUAUCGGUAUUAAACAUAAAAGUGAUUUACUAAGCUCUGGCUAUGAGAAGGCCAUGCUAGAUGAAAUCACCGUCUACUGUGCCAGUACCACCGAGGCAUGAGAUCAUGCCAUACUCUUCAAUAGAGCCCAACAAUUGCCUUUUAUACAAAUCUGUGAAUCACCCUAUUGUACGCCCACCACAAUCUCCAUAUGCAGAAUACACACAGUUGGGGUGCAUAGUGAUAAAGUCAAGGCAGGAGAAUACUUUUCUCCUGUGAUUCAUUCAUGCUGCAAUUGUGUCAGCACGUAUUGUCAAGCAAAAAGGACACAUGGCAUCAAUGUGACAGUGUUGCCACGGAGGAGGUUUUUAGAGAAGUGUGUUGGCAUUGCUAGGCACAUGGCUCAUUUAAAUCCAUUUUGAUUUGGCACUUCUGAGUUAGUUAAAUGGUUCAACUAGUUGGAAGGCACAGAGGCAGGCAAAUACAUGCAUUCUAAAAAGCAAUAUUCAUGGUGCCAGUGUGCAGUCAUAAAACUUGUUUCUUUAAUUUGGUUUCCUUAUGCUGCAGAACAUUACAAGUUCCUGCUUAUGUCUUCAUGUUGUAGAUUGCUAUGCCAGGGGGAAAGGAUGGUGACAGUAGAGAGUCAGUGUGGUAAGGUACAUUGGGUUUUCGGUUUAGGGUCACAUCCACACCAUACAUUUGAAGUUCAUGGAUUCCUCCAAAGAAUCCUAGAACUGGGAAGACCUGCAUCCAAAUCCCCACACAGACCAGCCUCAUGAGCUCUCUGGAGAGAAAGAUGGAAUACAAAUGGCAUUCCAAAAAUGAAAUACAAAAAAAAUUAAGGCAGGUAUGUUCAGUUAGAUCCAUUUAUCUGGCUGAUCUAGUGGCUGCUGUUACAAGUAGGGUGCUGGACUAUACGGCCUUUUGUUCAGAUGCAACAGGGCUCUUUUUAUGUCCUUACCACAUGCAGCAAGAAGAGCACGUGGAGACUCUCAGACAUAGCAUUUGCUUAACGGAUGGUAAGCUUUCAAGGACAGCUCUAGUGCAAGAUGUUUUGAAAAGCACAGCCCUAUGGAAUAGGUUAUAUCUGCAAGAUGAGGAAGACUAGGUGAAGAUCUAUUUCACCUGGCUGCCCUUCCUUCUGCACAAAUGAGCAUGGUGAAGCAUGACCAUAUGCAGUUGGGAGACAGGUGACCCAAGUGGAGAAAAGAUGGGCUUGGAAGGGUGCACUGUUGCAAUGGUGUGGGCGCUAUCCUGCAUCAGAAGCAGUAUUUAAUAACAGUUUGGCAGACAAGUGGGAUUGCGAAAUAAAAUGGAAAUUGGUUGUAAUUCUACGUGUACAGAUAUGUGCCAAAAUACGUUGAAAUUGUUAGAAUUAUGCUGAAGUUGUCCAUGGUGUUAGGUGCUAUCUAGUGUUAGUGCGACACUUUUCCAGGGCAGUCGUGCCUUAAUGUCUGAAUUCAAGCCUGUUGCCACCAAAAAGAGAGAGAAAGGCAUGUGUUUAAAAGAGAAAAUAUUCUUACAAAGGUGCCAUCCCAGUCUCUGCUGAGCAGUAACAAGAUUCCAGGGGGUUCCAGGUGCUUGCCCGGGAUUGUGUUCUUGUUGGGACAAUUGAGGCACAAUAGAGACUAGUGACUUUGAGAAAUACAGUUUAUUUUAAGCGUAUUUACACUUGCAGUCUUCAAUGGAGGGGUACCCCAAAAGUGUUUAUCCUUGCCCCUCUUCAGCAAACUUGGGCUCAAAGCACUUAGUGUUGCCACCUGUCCUGUAUUGUCCCGUAUUUCAAUGUAAAAUGCUAUGUCCUGUGUUUAUACUGUUUUGUCCUGUAUUUCAUGUCUUCUCUCUCUCUCUCUCUCUCUCUCUCUCUCUCUUUAGGGAUCCUCCUCUCCAAAUGUAUGUGUUUGAAAGGCUGGGUGAAAGGUCAUGUAUUUCAGCUCUGGGUAGCCAAACAGACAGAUUUACAAGUGUGUGUGUGUGUGAGAGAGACAAAUUCCAGAGGGACCAUCCUGUUAGGCUGCAGUAGAUUGUAAUAGAUUGCUUUGAAGUCACUUCAGCACCAGGCAUAAGAUGGUAAGCUCACAGUACGCAUUAACACUCCAAUGCAUCCUGCUCCCCUGUUGGGUUUAGGAAGAAGGGAACUAAAACAGUAACUUUGGAUUCAGCACAAAUAGCAAGUCAGGUCUCUGUUUUUCUUUCAUUCUUUGUAGUACCAAGUUUGCCUGUUUCUUUUAGUCCUUUUCUUAUACACAGCCUUGAUUACAUCACCUCCAGCCAGCAAAGGGAAGAGGAAGGAUAACAUGUCCCUUUACAGAAAGAUUUUCAGCUACUUGGUUUCCAUGGAAACAUCUUUUGCCCCAAGCUUACAUAACAAACCAGAUACUUAACAGACCUAUUUACCUCACAGGCUAUUUACCUAACAAAGAAGCAAGUCUGACUGUUUUAUAGCACCUUUUCUGCAGGAAUCCCAUUUUACAGUUAUAAAUUCACAGGCAGGUGUCCCCCCCCCCAUCAUAUAGCACAACCUCGGACUCAACACAAGAUAUUAUCCUUUUCUACAAUAAAAGACUGCUUCUUUCAAGUAAAUGUGCUUAGCAUCUGGACAGUAGUAGCAAAUCCUAUUUUACUCCUGUAGUUUUGUUUAUGCUGUAAGUUAUGUGAGUUUAAAAUCUGCACAUGCUCACGGUAUGGUUUUUUUAAAAAUCGGGAUUAGCAAACUUUUGAUAUAUUUUUUUUUGCUCCAACUUUAAGAAUUUAAAAGCAGUUGCAAAGCAUGGAAUGGAGUGUGGUAGAAAGUGGGGGAAUGUUAUUUUUUUCCUAAAGUAAUACACAUGGCUGUCCAAAGCAGGUGGUGGAGAAAUUAAAACAGUGUCUAAAAUUACCUAGCUGCACCAUUGGCCUUUAUUCAAAUCAUUAUUGCAACUACACUCACAACGCUGUCCAGACCUCUGGUUGCUACCUCUCAAAAUGAUACUGUAGACUGUUCAGUUUGAAAAGCAAAUUACCAGGGGGCUCUAGCAACUCCCUUAUGAGGAAAUGUUACAGUAUUUGGAGCUUUUAAGCUUGGAAAUAGUAGAGUAAGCGGGGUGGGGGGAGACAUGACAAACAUUUACGAAGUCAAGUAUGAUGUGGAAAAAGGAGAUAGAGUUUUUCUUCUUUCACAGUACUAUGAACUCAGGUUUAUAGUAAAGGUAAAGGGACCCCUGACUGUUAGGUCCAGUUGCAGAUGACUCUGGGGUUGCGGCGCUCAUCUCGCUUUAUUGGCCGAGGGAGCCGGCGUACAGCUUCCGGGUCAUGUGGCCAGCAUGACUAAGCCGCUUCUGGCGAACCAGAGCAGCGCACGGAAACGCCGUUUACCUUCCCGCCGGAGCAGUACCUAUUUAUCUACUUGCACUUUGACGUGCUUUUGAACUGCUAGGUUCAGCAAAUUGUGGGAGAUUCAGAAGUAAGGAAAGGAAGUUCUUCACACAGCACCAUGGCCACCAGCUUAACUUUAAAGCAGGAUUACAUAGAUUCAGGGAGGCUGCCUGUGCCUCAUGAAUACACGUUGUUAGGGAACAACAGGGAAAUAGGGCUAUCACUUUCAUGUCCUGGUAGGAUACUGUGGGAAACAGAAUGUUGGACUAGAUAGGGCUUUGGACUGAUCCAGCAAGCCUCUCCUUACGUUGAUUUCCUGGUAUUUUGAACAGUUCUGCCAAAGGAAAAAGGAUUAGGAGGAGAGGGAUGGGCCAGCAUAAACACAGGUGGAAAUUUGCUGUUCAGCUGAUUAAAUGGAUAGAAUGAGGAAACGUGUUUGAAGGCCUGCUGAACUCUUAUAAUGUGGAUGACGUAGAAUAUUCCUGUUCUGAAUCUGGAGUCUCAAGACUGCUUGGCUGCAGAAGGAAAACAUUUUCAAGAUUACAGAUAUGUAGAGCAGUGUCUGUCAUUUAAAGCCUAUUUGUUUUUGUAUUGUGUAAAUGAAUACAUACAGAUUUUUAUUUGUAUGCCACCUUAACGCAGUUCAAAACAUGCUCAAGGCAGCUUACAAUGUAUUAUUACAAAAAUAACUAAAGUAGUCAUAAACAAUAAAAAAAAUCAAAUCAAAACAAUUUCCACAUAACUUUCCCUGUUUAGGGAAGUUUUUAAUGUCUGAAGUUUUAUUCUGUUUUUAGUGUUCUUUUGGGAGCCGCCCAGCAAGAUGGGCAGGAUACAAAUAAGAAAAUAAUAACAAUAAUAAUUAAUCAUAACAUCUAAAAUAAUGAUACAAAAAAAUCUAAUAUCAUUAACAGCUAUAACUGUUUCACCACCCACAAUGAUUCUUGAGGCAUCUCUCAUUUUGGGCCGUCUGAGAUUUAGGCUGCAACAUUAUGUGUGAAUUGAAUUCAGUGGGAAGUUUGAGUUAAACUUGGAUAGGGUUGGGCUGGGAAAAGAUGUGUCUGUCACUGCUGCUGUGAAGAGACAACCGCUCAUGUUCAUUUGUGACAUAUGUGCUGUAGCUCAGUCAUAGAGCAUCUGCUUUGCAUUCAUAAACUUCAGGUUCAGUCUCUAGCAUCACCAUGUAGGUCUGGGAAAGGCCCCUGUCUGCAACCCUGGAGAUGCCUGUCAGGCAAGGUAGACAAUACUAUGCUUGUUUGACCAAUUGUCCAACUUGGUGUAAGGCAACUUCCUAUUUUGUUAAAACAUAGCUGUUUGUGUGUGCCUCCUCAAUCAGUUGUUGUUGUUUAGUCGUUUAGUCGUGUCCGACUCUUCGUGACCCCAUGGACCAGAGCACGCCAGGCACAUCUGUCUUCCACUGCCUCCCGCAGUUUGGUCAAACUCAUGCUGGUAGCUUUGAGAACACUAUCCAACCAUCUCAUCCUCUGUCGUCCCUUCUCCUUGUGCCCUCCAUCUUUCCCAACAUCAGGGUCUUUUCCAGGGAGCCUUCUCUUCUCAUGAGGUGGCCAAAGUAUUGGAGUCUCAGCUUCACGAUCUGUCCUUCCAGUGAGCACUCAGGGCUGAUUUCCUUAAGAAUGGAUAGGUUUAUUCUUAGUGCAAUGGCAGAAAGUUUUACUAACUUGAGUAGCUACAGGUUUGCCAUUAUUUCUGACUGUUUCAUGCAUCACUCCUAUUUCAGAAUAUUAAUAAGAAAAAGGGUAUCAGUUUAUUAAGGAACAAGCUCAUUCCUCUAUAAUGCUUAAAAAAACAACAUUACUGCAACCUCCUUGCUUCCCCCAAAUUCCCUGCUUUUAUUGAUUUAUGGUGCACAAUGACUUUAUUUCUAAUUAAUUCUGCUCAGUAUUCUAAAUUAUUUAUAAGCCUACAGUUGUGAUAUACUUUUGUUUACUGCACCACAACUCUUCCACCUGCAGUAAACACUAAAGGACUCAGAAGAGGGAAAAUGCAGUUCAAGUGCUUUAUGCAAACUAAAAAAAAAUGCAGCAUUUUGCAAUUCAUUAAAAUGCUCUUUCUAUGAAUGUAAUUGGAUCCAUUUCAGUUCUGCACCUGAAUAAAAUGUGCAGUGACAGCAGAAGAGCUUGCUGUAUUGUUCAAUUUUAUAUAAUAAUGUCCAGUUGUUCCCCCUUAAAACAGUUUUCAAAGACUUUAAAGGACUUUUUAAAACUAGGUCUUAAUUUCUGAACAAUUUUGGGGCUUGGAGGCAUGUUUGGAAAUCUAAAUUUGGUGUGAGAACCACAAAAUGCCUGUUUAACUUUUUAAAAAAGAAAUGGGAGGGGCAGAGAGACUUGGCAGGCAUGAAAUAAGGUGUCUGAGGGCCUUGUGGUAGUGCAACUAUUACAGGUUUUGUGUGCCAAAAAAUGUUAAUAUUGAUGAAGAAAAAAUGUUCUAACAAUGACAUCCUUUUUCAUGUCAAUCUUUGGGACAUUAAUAGAUAAUCUUGAGUAAUCAUAAUAUAGAUAUGAUUUUUCAAAUGUGAAUUCAACCUCUCUUUAUAGGAAAGAUGUUGCAUAUUAUAUCCCACUGGUUGUUUGUAAGGCUGGUCUCUAAAAAAAUGUAAUUUUGUAUUGAAGCUUUAGGCAACUUCUUAGAAGAUAGAGCAAUAAACUCAGUCUUCUUACCUUUUCAUUUGGUUGUCAGAUGAAACAUAAAGGGAAAGGGUAAAGGGACCCCUGACCAUUAGGUCCAGUAGUGACCGACUCUGGGGUUGCGGCGCUCAUCUCGCUUUAUUGGCCGAGGGAGCCGGGUCAUGUGGCCAGCAUGACUAAGCCGCUUCUGGCAAACCAGAGCAGCGAACGGAAAUGCUGUUUACCUUCCCGCCGGAGCGGUACCUAUUUAUCUACUUGCACUUUGACGUGCUUUCGAACUGCUAGGUUGGCAGGAGCAGGGACCGAGCAACGGGAGCUCACCCCGUCACGGGGAUUCGAACCGCUGACCUUCUGAUUGGCAAGUCCUAGGCUCUGUGGUUUAACCCACAGCGCCACCCGCGUCCCUUGGUGAUGAAACAUAAUGCAGAGCAAAAAUUACUCUUACAGAUCAGCACAAUGUAAGCUAAAUAUAGUCCAACAGUCAUAUAUUGUCCCCUUCCAGGUGCUUGACAAAUCACUUGCUCUUGCAGCUUUGGACAAGCAGCAAAACGUAGAAGUUUAUCAAGCCCCUGAUAUGUUACCACAGUCAGCAUGAUUAGAGUUGUGCAGACCUGCAUUAUUAUGAGCAAAUCUUUCCAUGUUGUUAGAGGGCAAUAACAUAUUUUGGUUGUAUCAAAACAUACAUGCACGUAUGAUUGGAAUAACUGGAAUGGUUACAUGCUUUUGGAGUGCUUUUUAAGCUUGGACUUAAAUUGUGAAGGUUGAGUGGCUAGCUGCCUAGCCCUGAGCUAUCAUGCAGAGAGCUAUAAGAAUACAUUAAGCUUCAUCCCUAGAUUGCAUUUAAGACUCUUACUUAAAUUCUUUGCUGGGUCAGCUCUAGAAUAAACACCUAGCAAGGCUAGCUCCAUAUGCCUCUUAUCCCAGUGACAAUCACAAAGUUUACCAUUUAUUUUGAUGGAUGAAAAUGGCACCUUAGCGGCCUGAUCCAUAACCAAUUAUGUCAAAGUACUUGGGCUUAGAUCAGUUUAUUCUUACAGGUUUCAAGAGCCAUCAUUAGGUGAAGAUUUAUGCCCAUUGAAGCCUAUAAGAACUUAAGGUGAACUUAUCAGUUAAUAGGUUACAGAUUGGUUGUAAAAUAUUUGUGUGCUUCAGUGACCACCAUAUAAAUAUCAGGAAGCAAAUUUCUCUUUGUUUGCUUGCUUAUUUUAAGAGUUUUUAAAGGCCACUUAGUAAAAAAACAAACAACCUCUUACUCAUUUGACGGUGAAAAAUAAUUAUUAAAAAAUAUAGAUAAAAUCAGCAGUACUGAAAUGCAAGUAUACAUAAUAAAAUUACAUGCUUGGAUAGGCUUGCUGAAGUAAAACCUUUUUUUAGCAGGCAUCUAUAGUGAAGGCUGCUGCCUGAGGCAGGAAGUCCAGGACAUGAGUGCUGCCACACUAAAAAAAUCAAGUCUUUGCAGAUGCAGUACGAAUAUUACAUGGCCCUUUAAAAAGUGCAUGCUCUGCAGAUUGACGCAUUUGAUAGUUCUCUGCCUGGGCACUUGAAUUAUCGUAGGACAACGUUAUUACGUUUAAAUUUCUUUUCACAAUGCUACAGUUGCUUCAUACCCACACCCCAGAGAAAGUUACACUGGAGACUAAGGCAGUGAAGUCAGUAUUUCAUAAGUGCACAGCCGGAUGGCAGGCAGCCCUCUCCUUUGACCUGUGACCAUGCCUGUGUGGCACCAGUCCUGUACCAGCAGAGUGCCAAUCUCACCACUGACAGUAAAGUUGCCAGGUGCUCGGUUGCUACCUAAUAUCAUACCACCACCACCCCAUCAUGUCAACAGCGUGCAAAAAGAAUGUGACUUGAAUGUCCGGAAGUAUUUUUAUUAACUUUUCAGGCAAAAUCAGUGGAAACAGAAGAAUGCCUUAAUAAAAUAUUUGGAAAGCAGUUGCCAAAUGGGAAUGCUGUAAGGCAGAUUAAUCUGUGACUUUCAGGGGUAAAUGGUCUGAUCACAAUUCAAGUACAGUGGUGCCUCGGGUUAAGUACUUAAUUCGUUCCGGAGGUCCGUUCUUAAGCUGAAACUGUGCUUAACCUGAAGCACCACUUAUCUAAUGGGGCCUCCUGCUGCUGCCGCGCCGCCGGAGCACAAUUUCUGUUCUCAUCCUGAAGCAAAGUACUUAACCCGAGGUACUAUUUCUGGGUUAGCGGAGUCUGUAACCUGAAGCGUAUGUAACCUGAAGCAUCUGUAACCUGAGGUACCACUGUAUCAGGCUGAGCCCUUCUACAGCUUAUUCUAUAUGAGCACUUGAUAAACCUAGUGCAGCAGGCAGAUUUAAUUACCUGUACCCAUUACACAUUUUUCAGAGUUUACAUAUAGCUGAUGAUAUGGCAAAAAACAACUGGCUGUGGACAAUAUUUCCAAAGGUUAUUGCCACUGGAUUUAAUACAUAUUUUGCCAAAGCAUAAUAACUUCAAUGACUCUGACUCUUUAUUCAGAUUUAAUUUAUCACACAUUAUUAUGCUAGAGCUGCUGAUAUUUUUCCAGCUCUUGUUAUCUUUUGUUGUAGUAUGUUUUCUUAACUUAGUUACUUCCACAGGAAAAGCUGCAGCAGGAAUAUUUCUGUUGCACUUAACCUUCCUUUGAGCAAAGCCACCUCUACUGAUUAUGUAUUUUUUUUUGUCCUACUGCACUGCAAACUGACUUCUUUGUCCUUCACCUCAGGAUAGGUUGCUGCCAAUGUAAACUUCCUUCCCUAGUUCACGAAUACUUAAUGACGCCUAUAGUCUCUUCUAACUUGACCUAAAUUCCUGCUCUUACCAUCUGUGAUGGCCACCACCCUCACCUUUUAAGAUACACCGUCAAAUUAAGCUCGCAUGUUCACUAGUGUCUUUCGAGAAAUAGUGUGAGUGUGAAAGGGUUCCUCAGACCUAUUGCCUCCUUUUGUCCUGAAACACUUCCUACUCACCUGAUAAGUUACACAGCUUUGCCCAUCUAAGCGCCAGACUAUAAAUGCCUUUAACUGCAUGAGUGUAAUUAAAGUGCACAUUUAGUUAAUACAGAGCUGCAAGGGAGCCUGAGCAGCAUGAGAACUAUCAGAUAUGAUGGGGAGGGAGAAUUUUACCCUUUCCUCCUCUCAUGGUCCCACAUCACUGACAUGCAUAUCCACACCAUAAAUUUAAAGUACGUACAUUCAAUGCACAUUUAAAGCACAUGACUUCCCCCGAAGAAUCUUGGAAACUUUAGUUCCACCUCACAGAGCUACAAUUCCCAGCACCCUUAGGAAACUACACAAGAGUUUUUCACAUUAUAUUAAGCUCCAGCUCCUCCACUUGAUUGAGCACCCCAAAGCAUAAUUCUUCAUCCAAACACUCCUCUCUGUCUCUGUCUCUCUCUUUGAAAAGGAGUGUUUCUUCUAUGACACAUGUCCAGGAAUCACACAUUUGAGUAGGAUGCUGUAGGAUGACAGUGUAGUCAGGUGUGAGUUUGUUUAGCUAAUUCAGCAAAUUUUCGACAGUAGAGAACCAGCCUGGAAGUUAUAAUUGUUUUAUUUCUACAUUGUUACCCCACCCUUCUUUCAAGGAGCUCCGAGCUUAGGACUGUGCAUGAUUGUUCCCUUUAUUAUUAAAAAAAUAUAUAUUCAAAAUUGGGGGUUGUCUUAUACAUGGAUAGUGCAAAUUGUGGAUGGCCAAUUGUUGGCAUCCGUGAGCAGGAGAUUGUCAGCAGCGAUUGGGCGUGUGAUUGGUGGUUGCAUCAAGGCGUGCUGGCGAUUGCUGCUGCAGCAAUUGGGUGGGCGAUUGGCAGUGGCAGUCAGGUGGUUGAGCAUUUGUCAGCAAUCAAAAACUCUGGGCCAUCCCCCCCCCCCAAAGCUCAACAACUCUGGGCAAUCUCCCCCUAUUUCCUUAAUUUGGGGUCCCAAAAAAUACCGGUCGUCUUAUACACAGGGACGUGUUAUACACGGAAAAAUACGGUACAUUAGGCUAAGAAAGUGUCUUCAGUUUAACAAGUGGGACCUGCAAACCAUGCUGCUGUUCAGCAUUCCAAGAUACUCCCAUUACAUUUCCUACCCAUUCCUAACCUUAAUGUCCACCCCCAAAACAGUCAGUGCACUUAGUCCUUUGCUUCUUUUUUCCUAACUGUUUUUGGUACUUCUUCAAAUCCUUUUUGCUUUCUUGAGCCUCUUGGUACUUUGCUCUUGUGUGUAGAUGGUAUAACUUUAGAUACUGAAACACCAGCACUCACUCCUAAACAUUGAAAUAAGAGGAGCGAUGACACAUUAUUGUUACUUUCAUUACUGGUACAAAUACUCUGUAAACUGUGUGCUUUUCCACUUAAAGGACAAAAUUCAGUCAAUGGGAUUUGCAAGAACCCCUUUUCCACCCAAAGCCAAUAAAUCAUUUUAUCUAAAACUAACAUAACUCCUUCCCUCUUCAGGGCAUUUCAGGUUUAUCUUGUUAUUUCUCAUACAAUUAUCCAUAUAUAGAAAAGCGAGACUGAAAUGUUUAUUUCUUUAAAGUAUACCAUCUCCUUCACUGCUUAUUCAUCCUCUGAAACUGCAAUCAUCUGGGUCAACAUAAUCAUCUCCAUAGCAACCAAACUGAUAAAGAUACGUGUGUUUUCUUUCCAAAAAUACAGAAAAAAAAGAAUACCCAGAGGGAGAAUUUAUCCCUCCUUUGUUGUGCCUGUUUUCAAACUUUGUUAGCCAAUCAACAGGCAAAAAUAAGACAAUGAACAGAUGAAUUAAACAGUUUGUGAGUAGAGCACAAUUUGUUUUCCAACUUUUCUGGAGAGGGGUGUUUAUAAUGCAGCAUUGCUGGAAAUUAGUUAGAAUUAAUGAGUAGGGCUUAGUUUGAGGUAUAAGUUAAUCUUGUCAAAUGGUUUGACCCAGUGUAAUUAGCAGUGUUGAACAUCUGCUACCAUCAGUUUACUUCCACCUGUUCAUAUUUCUAAAUUGGUCUCAGGCUUCUCCAGUGAUCUGACUGUAACCAGCAGUUAAAUGACCUUUCUUUGGUAACAAUUGGAGGAAGUUGAGAGUGGAAAUAGGAAGGUUCUGCAAUUACAUACCACAAACAUUCUGGAAAUUCAUGUCAGUCUUCUAAUGAAGAUAAUGCACAUCUACUCCGUCACAGUGGGGUUGUUAAAAUUGUUUUGCCAGAAUGUUAAAGCACACAUUUCCCUUUUACUGGUUAUCAUCUGUAUACUAUGAAAAUUAACAGCACCAUGUAUAAGCAGCUUAAAAUAUAGAUGUUUACUUUUUACCUGCAUGUGUAUUUAAGUCAAGUUUCAUAUUGAUAAAGGGAGUUGAAAAGCUAAAGGCCAUUCUGGCAAUUAUUAUUUGUCACAGAACAGGGGUGACGCAUGAAACUUGUGGAAUCUGCAAAACACAUCUGUGUUAUUCCUUUUUGUUGGUGACACAUCUUCAUUAUUCCAUGUGUCAGAGUCACGACAUGAGAAAAUGAAAUAAUGUUAUCUAUUUUUCAACCGCAUCACUAUGGGAAAUGUGCAGACCAAUCUUAUCCAUGCUUACUUGGAAGUAAGUCCCACAGAGUUCAGGGGGACUUAAUCCCAAAGUGUAAAUAGAAUCUCAGCUUUAUUGUCAGCACUAUAGUAGAAAGCUAAAUUUCUGUUAAAGCACAGCACAUGUGACAAAAAUUACUAAAACAAAGGGAAGCAGUGGAUUGCAACUUCUCUCUAGGUUAUUUUGAAAGAAAAUCUGCCCCAUACUGCCUGUGUCUUGACUACAAAUGGAACAAAGGGUUGUUUUUAAUAUGCAAGGCUUCUCAACAAUUAUAUUGAUUGCUGCUUUAAGAGUUCUAAAUGCUAACACAUAGGAUGAAAAUAAUUAUAUUACCAGAUUAAAAUAAAUUAAACCUCCAGUUUUGUCCAGGUAUAUUAAUUGUGGACCCAGUGCCCAUUACUGUUAAAUGGAUGACAUCUGGGAAAUGAUGUUUCCCAGACUUUGACUUCAAAUGUUUUCUAUGUUGCUUGUUCAGGAUUGGGAACUGGAAUAAGUGUUAUGACAGGAUGUAGCCAUGUAGAAUGUGGUAAUUCUUACCCGUGUUUAUUUUAUGUAAUUUCACAUUUUAGCAGUGUCCCUUUUCAUAAAAUCCUUGGCGCAGAAAUUAAUGGCCUGGCUGUCGCAAGUUUGCAUAUGCUCCAACUACACCAGAUGCAACAGCAGGUGCUUUUCUUUUCUUUCCUUUCUUUUUUUAAAUUGGAUCAUAACCCAUUUCCCCAACACUGGAGUGCCAGGCUAGGCAAAACAAAGGACCUCUGAGAUAGCAAGGUGCCUCCAUAUGUCAGGUGCAGAACAGAAUAAAAGCUCAUUGGAAUCCAGAUCUAAGGAAGGAAUAGGUACUGGCAUACUUUCCUGACAAGGGAUCUAGUGCUUAGAAAUUUUGUUGCUUCCCCGACUACCAAGCAGGGAAAGACUGUGCAAAACUUACUUAAUAUGAGAAGGCAAAAUCAGGUUUGUUUGUUUUUUAUAAAAAGUAACAUGAAUAAAGAAAAGAAACAUGGUCCAAACUCUGGACUAAAUUACUUUCUCUAGAUACAAUGACUCUUGUAGCCUUGGAGAGCAAAUUUUAAGUUUGACACCUGCUGAAGAAGUGUAGUUAGGUUACACAAGCUGUAGAGACCAAUGACCCAAAAUGUAUGUUCAGUUGACCCAGAUAUGACAAACUGAAGGCAGCCAGGUAGAUAAUUUAGGAGUUACAUAAACUUUAAUCUUCCAGGUGGUGGAUCAAAGACAUGGUAAUAAGUAGCACAAUUAAGUCUACAUCACAGUUUCUCUGACUCAAAGACUAGUACACAAAAAGGUCAGGCAUAAACAUGGUUGUUUAUUUCCUACUAGGAUUUCCCCUGCGAAUCUCUUAACUAAAAGCAAUUAGAGCUGUAUACAUGCCUUCUCAAAAUUCCAACCCUAUUUGUGGCAGAGAAGUUGUGGGGGGUGGGUGGAAUAAUAAUAAUAAUAAUAAUAAUAAUAAUAAUACUGCAUUUAUUAAUUUAUACACCACUUGGUUGCCAAAUUGAAUUCUAGGCAGUUUACAUGUAUAAAACCAGUUAUAAAAACAUGGCCAUGCAUAAUGAAAAAAUACAAUGAAAUAAUUUCAUCCAACCUUCAAACAUUCAUAAUUAAGACCUACAAUAAACAAAGUGAUUUAAAUAGCAUACCAGUUAUACCAGCAGUUAAAACAAAGCUGGAGGUUCAGUCAAGAGGUCAGGAAUAUUUGUCUAAAUCAGGGGUUAGCAAACUUUUUCAGCAGGGGGCUGGUCCAUUGUCCCUCAGAACUUGUGAGGGGCCAGACUAUUUUUUUUGGGGGGGGGGAUGAACGAAUUUCUAUGCCUCACAAGUAACCCAGAGAUGCAUUUUAAAUAAAAGCACACAUUCUACUCAUGUAAAAACACCAGACAGGCCCCACAAAUAACCCAGAGAUGCAUUUUAAAUAAAGGGACACAUUCUACUCAUGUAAAAACAUGCUGAUUCCUGGAUCGUCCACGGGCUGGAUUGAGAAGGCGACUGGGCCGGAUCCAGCCCCUGGGCCUUAGUUUGCCUACCAAUGAUCUAAAUAGUUGUGCUUUCAAUACCUUCAAAAUUAUCCACGUUUCUUGGGGAUUUGGCUUACCAUUAACAGUUCCAGUAGUACUGUUUUUCUUUCUACCCUAAGUUUUAUUUUUGCUCCCUGGCUGCCAUUUUCCAUCCUCCACAUUUUUGUUAGGGGGCAGGCUUUUGUUGGGGGGGGGCAGAACCUCAGAUUUGUAUUGAUUUUUACUUAUUGAGGGUCAGCUACCCCCUGCCCCCCUUGGCUACACCCACGGGGGGGGGGCACAGGAAGGAAACAAGUUCAGAAGGGGGCUAUGGUCAGAAAAAGCUUGGGAAACACUGCCCUAGAAGACCUAGCAUAAUUCUAGAGCAAUAGAGGAGGAAAUGGUGACAGUUUCGUUGUCCUGGAAUUAUGUUAGGUCUUCUAGGGCAUUGUGGAGGGUGAAAAAUUAUAUAUACUGAAAAUACUGAAGCAAACAAUUGAUCUAUCUAGAUCGUUAUUGUCUAUAUAGUUACUGGCAGGAGGUCUCCAGGGUUUCAGAUGGAAGAUGCAAUGCAGAGUUGCAAUAAAACAUGAUAUCAAACAAAACCAUAAGAUAUUUAAGGUAUUUUCUGUCCUAGGGCAUUUCUGAUAUGACACUCAGCUCUACUUCUCUAUUACAAUUGAACCAAGUGAGGCUGUGCAAGCCCUUAACCAGUGCCUGAGUGCAUUGAUGAGGGCCAAUAUACUAAGCUUGAAUCCUAUGGAGGCACAAUGAGAGUGAGUGAGUGAGUGAGUGAGUGAAUGAGUACCAUGUGUAGGGGAAACCUACUGUGGAAUACAUUUGUAUUAUAAGGACAUAGGUUGAUUGGAUUGUACGAAUCUUCCCUACUUAUUGGCACCUUUGGUAAUUGCAAGGGUUUUUGGUUUGCUUUAUUGUUUAGAUUUACUGUUUGUGCUCCAGGGAUAAGUGGCAGCAGGACGUGGGAAUAUCCACUGGUGGGUCAGCAGUAGGAUGAGUUCCUGCAGGCAGUAGAGCAGCUGCAGAGUUGCUUAACCAUGCUGGCCCUUGUAUACUGGCCUAGCUUAACAGGGGAAAUGAAUUUAGGUAUUAGGCCAGCCAACACAUAGCCGCUAAGGGUUCAGAGUAUAUAAACCUUUUAGGUAGGGUCUGUCCCCCGGAGCUUUGAUGUAGACCCUGACCGAGAUGGUGCUGCGUCUUAGUCAGCUGGAGUCUUUCAGUUAUUAAUCCUUGGACCUCCCAAUAAUUGAAUGGAAAAGUAUUUUCUGUUAGUUUGCUUAAAGACAGUUUCACUGCUUUUUGGUGCUGUAUUUAAGCCUGCAAUUUAAUAAAAGCAUUGAACAAGAAUUGUGUUGUGAUUGCCUUUGAAUCCAAAAGAGCUCCUGCAUUUGGCAAAACACCAUGGACGGGAGAUUGGCAAAUUGCUAUUUCCAGAAAGGGGCUCCACUCCCUCUGGUUUACAGCCUGGGGCUGCUCCUGAACCACAUCUUUUUUACUAGUGGCUAGGAGCACUUUCUGUAAACUUUGGUAAGGCAACUGCAGUCCAAUCUAUGGACUGGAAUAGCUUGGCCACUGUGCUUCAGGGGUCUGUAACCUCAAAAUUAGAUCAUUCCAACAUCCUCUGUGUGGGGCUUCACUUGUGCUUAGUUUUGAAGGUACUGCUCCAAAAAUAUGUAGUGAUGGCCACAAAGGUGCAUGGCUUAGAACAGGAUUUGAGAAUUGAUGGAGGAUAAAGCUAUCAAUGGUUACUAGUUACUAUGGCUGUGUUCCACCUCCACUAUCAGUGGUAGUAUGCAUCUCUGUACCAGCCACAGGGAAUGGGAUUUAGGCAUGAUCCAACAGGGCUUUUAUUACAUUUUUAUUCUAGGUUUGGUUAGUAAAUAUUCCAGCACUGUCUGCAGGGCCGAUUUUAGCCACGUAUGUCAUGAUUGUUUGCAGAAAGGUUCGACAUUUCAUACUUUCUAAGGCUACAAGUAUUAUCAUUAUUUCUGUAAUGGCCAUUCGCAUUUUGAAAUGACAUUACAGGCGAACUUUAAUCUAUUGGAUCUUAGUUGCUUCUGUCCCUCUUAGUUCAGCAGAGCUGUUCUAGCAGUGCUCUGAAGCAUAUAGCCAUGAUAUUUUCAUUCUGUUUCCCAUAAUUUGUUUUCAGUAAAAGUUUGAUUUGCUCCAGGCAGCCAAAGAUUCCCGAGAAACAGAUGGUUUCCCCUCCCCCAAAGCAAAUUUCUAACGUGAGAAAAAAAGAUUAUCAUAAUUGUAAUAUAAUACACUACUCAGCAUAGUAGUGGAGUGUGCCACAAUUCUCGUGUUUUUACUUGCUUUUGUCUCCUCUGAGCACAAAAAGGAAGGAAAGCAACACAGAAUUACAAUUUUCUUCUUGGUGAAAAAGAACAGAUUGCAUUCAACUAUGAGGACAUUUCAAUUGUCAUCGCUGUCGUUAUUUUGUAAUGAGUUCUGUCUAAAAGGACCUAAUAGAGCAUUGUUGGGGGCGGCAUCGGCAGUGCAUACACACUUUUCUGUCACUCAAACAUUUGUUUUCUGCUGUUUUCCCAAACAUCAACAUCGCUAUUUGUCAAGUAUGUUUGUUUCCUAUACAGAAGGAACAGAACGGACUUGAAAUUAGGGUAGCGUUAGAAACUUUGGCACCUGCUCGUGUAGGGAAAUGUGUACAGAACAAUAAGUAACAGAAAUAAAGCCUGUAAAUCACUUUAAUAAAUAAUAAAGGUAGUAAUAAAAUGUAUUGCAGUUAUUUGUUUUUAAAAAGACAUUUAAACUUACGUUAGUAAUACAUUUAUUCAUUGAGAUACUGUCUUGAUUUGUAAGAAUUGUGAAUGGAAAGAGGCUAAUUGAAGGCAACUUUCCACCCCUCUUCACCUUCUUGCAUUUAGUUGUACACCUGUUUCACUUUUUAUAAAAAAAGCUCCAGGAAAUGGGGGGGUGGGGACCCACCUAUAUAGUUGCGUGUGAGGGGACUGUUGGAAAGGAGUGGAGAAAAUCAUCCAGAAUCAAGCAGAGUCAUCUUGCACAAGAGAGUUCACUCACAGAAGUUGCCUCUGUCCAAUUUCGGGUGAUUUAUCACAGCACUCACCCCCCACCCCAUUGCAUGCUGUUGGGAGAGGACCCCAUCCCUCCAUUAUGCACAUAGUUUCCUGGACUUUAUUUCAACUCAUAGGCCUAACAUACUUCAGGCAGUGCUGUUAAUAUAAUAAGUCUUGAGGAAACAGAUAUUAAAGGAAACAACAAUCACCACAUAUUCCUAUUAUAAUUAUACCAGCCUUCUUCUUUUUAUUGGAUUUGGGAUUGUUGUCUUUCAUAUCCCUCUCCCUUAAUUCCUUCUGCAGCAGAAAUAUCUGCAGGCAACAAUUUUCUAUUUUCUGGUUUUUCUUCUCCUUUUCUGACUCUAGUAAAAUGAUGUCAACAAAAGACAGAAUUUCAGUCAUGGGAAUCUUACCUUUUAAAGAGAAAGAUGCUGAAUGUUUGGAGUGGUACAAGCUAACCUUUAAUUAUGGCCAAAUCCAAUCAGCUGCUGUUGUGGACAUAGUAGCUCAAAAUACUAGAACUAAGUAUUAAGUUAGUGCUAGGACAUAACAGUGCAAUGACAUAACUGGCACAUUCAGGCCUAUGAUGGCUAUAUUCAAAUAUCUAAAGGGCUGUCACAGGGAAGAUGGGGCAAGCUUGUUUUCUCCUUCUCUGGAAGAAUAUUGGGAAGAUCUUUCUGACUUGUAAGAGCUGUUUGACCUCAGGGACCCUUCCAACUCUACAGUUCUAGGAAUCCAUGCUUAUCUGGAGCCAGGCUGCAGAGCAAUGAAGUCACAGCUGUGCAUAGCUCUACAUUUUCUUGUCCUGGAAAUAAAAUCUCAGUAGUAGACUGUAAAACUGCUUUCAGAGCUUCUGAACAUUGAUGAGGGAGGGGGCCAUGUGUCUACAAAUCUACCCACCAGCUUUCCAGGAGCAAGUGUGUCUGGUCUUCUUGGUGAGAAGGAUGUUGGGCAGUACACAGCCCUCUCCCUUGAGCUCUUUAGUUGUAAUGAUGCUUAGCUUAGAGAUGUCAGCAAGUUCUCCUAAGGGGAACUUUGCAGGUUUGUUUCCUUUUUUGCCACCAACUUUUUGCUGAGCACUCUUCUCUUCUCUCUGUCUGAGUAUUAGCCUCACCACUAUCUAAAAAAUCUUCAGCUUGUGUCUUAAUUAAUGUAUGCAACGUUCUUUGCUGAAAAGCACACCUUCUCCCAUUUACCAUCUGGUGCUGACUGUUACAGAGCUUCGUUACCUAUAAAGAAAUGAUUGUUGGAUGAAAGGUGACAAGUGCCACACAGAUACGUUCAGUAGCUAGCAAAUAUGACAAGGGAGACUUGAAAAGCUGAUGGCAAAGUAAACAAUUCUGCCUUAGGUGGGUUGCAUUUGAGCAAGAAAUCCCCACCCCAUAAGAAUAUUGCUCUUUAUACAGAAACAAUGACAAAUAAUCUGUCAUGCAUGGCUCCUUUCAGGAACAUUCAAGAUCUUACACCAGUUGUUCAGAAGUGACAAGGACAAGUUUGGCUCCCCCCUCUUGAAUCUCUAAUGGCACUUACCUGACAUGGUUGUGUCAUAAUAACCUUAUUUUUUCCACUUCCUGUUCCACAGUGUUAGCUGCCACAAGUGGAGGCAGGGAUGCUGUCAUGUCAGGACUCACAAAACUUACUCGGAGGAGGGGGAAGAUAAAAAUGCUGUUUAUGGUAACAGCCAUCACUUUAGAGUUGUGUCUAGUUUGGCCCUAAGGAUGGAAUCAUACUUUACCUCAGCAGUGACAUGUUCCCAAACUCAUCUUUGCAAAGAUAUUUCAGUUGCAGAGAAGAUGGACCAUUUGCUGGAGUAUGCUUAUCUCUUUCUGUGUCCCCCAGCCCCCCACUGAAAAUUCAGUCAGACUGAUAUCAAACAGUUAAAAGUGACCAAGUUAAAAGUAUUUGCAAGGAAAAUUAGUGAUUGGGGGAGGGGUUAAGCACUUACUCCCCCAUAAGUUGUUUGUUGUUUAGUCGUUUAGUUGUGUCCGACUCUUCGUGACCCCAUAGACCAGAGCACGCCAGGCCUCCCGCAGUUUGGUCAAACUCAUGCUGGUAGCUUCAAGAACACUGUCCAACCAUCUCGUCCUCUGCCAUCCCCUUCUCCUUGUGCCCUCCAUCUUUCCCAACAUCAGGGUCUUUUCCAGGGAGUCUUCUCUUCUCAUGAGGUGGCCAAAGUAUUGGAGCCUCAGCUUCACGAUCUGUCCUUCCAGUGAGCACUCAGGGCUGGAACCCCUAAAACAACACAUGGGGGAAGCAGAGAGGGGAUCAUUCCAUCUGGCAAGCUGAAAUACUUCUGCACAUGCACCCUAAAUGAAUGUAGUGUUACAAAAGUUUACACCACCCCCAAUCUCUGCCAGCUGUAGCAUAUUACAGCAUGGUCAUCUCAACAGGAGCUUGUUCCCCACUGGAGUCCAAGGCAUUUUUCCCAGCCUGCCAUAAUUAUUCUCUCUCUCUUUUUUAGCUAUUCCAAGCCUGGUGCCAAAGGCCCCAAAUUCUUCCUGUGACAUCAUGCCCAGUUACCCUGGCAAUCUUCCAAAUACCCUGUCUCUGUUCACACUGGAUGUGUGUCUUGGGUUCCGUGACACAAAAAAAGGCAGAAUAUAUAACUAUAAGUAAAUAAGGGCCUAUUAUUAUAAUGGGCUGCAAUGGAUCAAAUCUCCAGAGCCCUCUUUCCGUUCUAGAUUUUUCUGUUCUUGCAAUUGCUGUUUAAAGGUUCUGCUCAGGAAACUUGCAUUACCAUAUGUGCUCAGCUAUGCAAGUCUUGUAAUUGGGUUAAGGACAGGAGUAGAUAUGAUUUAUGUGAUUGAUUAAUUCUGGGCUAUCUGUGGACAUGUAUAAUGUAUAAAAAAUGGGACCAACAGAUAGUUGUAUUUAGAGAAUUUAUCCUAGUUCUGUAUGAGGAGCUUCCACUGUAAAUGAGCCUUUUUUGGCUGAACAAAGAUGAAUACUGUAUACAUGUUACCAACGUGUGUGUGUGUGUGUGCGCGUGCACGCGCACUGUGAUGAAGCUGUUGUACCCUUUUUCUCACAUUUCGGCAGCCAUUUGAAAUUUCAAGCUUUCAUCAUUGCAGUUGUCCUUAAAAAAGAGAUACACUUUGAAAUUAAGUGAACAACUGGCAAAAGCUAAGCAGCUGAGCAAAAGCUUAGGACUUGAGGCUCAUAGAUCAUGAAGUGCUUUUGAAUGCCGAAUAUAGCAUCUGAUUAUUUUGGAGACUGGCAGUCUGAGAGCAUCUUCCUAAAAAGAGAGAAGAGAGAAAGGCAGAAUUAUUUAUUCUGUUUAUGUGUGAAGUACAAGAGAAAAUUUAAAAUGGGAUUAGCAUAUAACUUUCCAAGAAGGAAUAUGCAAAAGAAUUUUUUAAAACCCAACCCUGGUCUAAUUUCAGUUCUCCAACAAUAGUCUCAAGCCAUUAGAGGAGGAGGAUAAUGUGACCAGGCACAUUUCCCCCCUCAGUGUGUAUGAAAAGCUGGCAUGUUUCCUCAUUAGCUGCUAGCUGCCUUAUUCUUCACUGCAAUGUUAUUCUGCAGAAGACAUGCUAAAGCCAUCAAAUUAUACAAAAUCUUAUGACGGUGGUGGUUUGAAGAAAGAAAACCCCUAUUAUAUUGCUAUAGAUUCCCUUCCCAUAUUGCGUUUUAUGAUGCUUUCUACCAUAACAGGAACAUUCAGUGGCUGCCUUCUAAAUCUACAACCAGAUAAUUAGCUGGCAUCAGAAUGGAGCAAAGAAUCCUGCUUUUAAUGAUUCUAACACUAUAUUAAUUUGUUUUAGUACAAUUCCGCUGAGACAAAGAAAUCUGGAAACACCAUGGACUACUGUAAUGCACUCUAUGUGGGGCUACCUUUGAAGGUGACCCGGAAACUACAAUUAAUCCAGAAUGCGGCAGCUAGACUGGUGACUGGGAGUGGCUGCUGAGACCAUAUAACACUGGUACUGAAACAUUGGCUCCCAGUACAUUUCCAAGCACAAUUCAAAGUGUUGGUGCUGACCUUUAGAGUCCUAAAUGCCUCGGCCGAGUAUACCUGAAGGAGCGCCUCCACGCCCCAUCGUUCAGCCCAGACAUUGAGGUAUAGCGCCGAGGCCUUCUGGCAGUUCCCUCACUGCAAGAAGUGAGGUUACAGGGAACCAGGCAGAGGGCCUUCUCAGUAGUGGCACCUGCCCUGUGGAAUCAUAGAAUCAUAGAGUUGGAAGAGACCACAAGGGCCAUCGAGUCCAACCCCCUGCCAAGCAGGAAACACCAUCAGAGCACUCCUGACAUAUGGUUGUCAAGCCUCUGCUUAGAAGGAGACUCCACCACACUCCUUGGCAGCAAAUUCCACUGUCGAACAGCUCUUACUGUCAGGAAGUUCUUCCUAAUGUUUAGGUGGAAUCUUCUUUCUUGUAGUUUGGAUCCAUUGCUCCGUGUCCGCUUCUCUGGAGCAGCAGAAAACAACCUUUCUCCCUCCUCUAUGUGACAUCCUUUCAUAUAUUUGAACAUGGCUAUCAUAUCACCCCUUAACCGCCUCUUCUCCAGGCUAAACAUGCCCAGCUCCCUUAGCCGUUCCUCAUAAGGCAUCGUUUCCAGGCCUUUGACCAUUUUGGUUGCCCUCCUCUGGACACGUUCUAGUUUGUCAGUGUCCUUCUUGAAUUGUGGUGCCCAGAAGUGGACACAGUACUCCAGGUGAGGUCUGACCAGAGCAGAAUACAGUGGCACUAUUACUUCCCUUGAUCUAGAUGCUAUACUCCUAUUGAUGCAGCCCAGAAUUGCAUUGGCUUUUUUAGCUGCCGCGUCACACUGUUGGCUCAUGUCAAGUUUGUGGUCAACCAAGACUCCUAGAUCCUUUUCACAUGUACUGCUCUCAAGCCAGGUGUCACCCAUCUUGUAUUUGUGCCUCUCAUUUUUUUUGCCCAAGUGCAAUACUUUACAUUUCUCCCUGUUAAAAUUCAUCUUGUUUGUUUUGGCCCAGUUCUCUAAUCUGUCGUUUUGAAGUGUGAUACUGUCCUCUGGGGUGUUAGCCACCCCUCCCAGUUUGGUGUCAUCUGCAAAUUUGAUCAGGAUGCCCUUGAGUCCAUCAUCCAAGUCGUUGAUAAAGAUGUUGAAUAAGACCGGGCCCAAGACAGAACCCUGUGGCACCCCACUAGUCACUCUCCCAUCAGAUGUCAAGGAAAUAAACAACUAUCUUACUUUUAGAAGACACCUGAAGAAAAUCCUGUUUAGGGAAGUUUUUAAUGUUUGAUGUUUUAUCAUGUUUUUAAUAUUCUGUUGGGAGCUGCCCAGAGUGGCUGGAGAAACCCAGCCAGAUGGGCGGGGUAUAAAUAAAAGAUGUUAAUAUUAAUAUUAAUACUAAUAUCAAUUCAAAACCAUUUACUCUGAUUGACCCCCUUCCCCACACCACAUUUGUUGCUACCUUAUGCAAGCUCGAGUCUCAACAUAGACAACAAACAUCUAUAACCCUUUGCAGGGCUCCAAUGGGGUGGGUGGGUAGAGGGGAUAUACAUUUACUGGGCUAGCAGACUUAGCUUUCUUUCUUUCUUUCUUUCUUUCUUUCUUUCUUUCUUUCUUUCUUUCUUUUAUUAAGUCCAUAGGACAUUUCUGAAGAAAGAGCACCAUAAGCAGAGGUAGGCAGCACACUUGCUAAGGAUGUUCAGUGACUUAAUCACUGCUGCUAGGUGAUCAGGGAAGAACUGUUGACCACUUCUACCUGGGACUCAGGAGGGAGCCAUCCUGGAGCAGCAAAAAAACCCAGGAGAGGCUCUUUGCUGCCAGCCUGAUGCUGGAUUGAGGAGGAUACUGGGGUGUGUUUGCUUAAGCAUUUUCCUUUGUGUCCAGAUUAUUUCAUUUAUUCUCAAAGUGUGCUGUCUUUACAUUGGUUGGUUGACCUCCAUCUGUUUCAGGAGACAGUGGAAAAGUGAUAAAACACAAUUGUCUGGCUUUGGUAUGUUUUACUCAAAAGUAACUCCCUUGAAUUAAACUUCCUUCCUACUUAGAGAAAAAAAUGUUGCUUUUGCACAAACUAACAAAAAUUCGAGCUUUGACAGUUCCCCCACUCAGCCAGCCACUAUUGGUCUGCUUACCAUCAUCAGGCUGCUAUUUAGUAAUAUUCAGUAACCAUAAGCAAAAUUAUACAGAAUGAAUCAGCAAACACCUUACAGCUACAGCAAGUUAAAAUCCCUACAUUCUCUUUGCUUACAGACAAGUGUGGUGCAACAAGGGCACCUCAUCCUACUGACCCAUUAUCACCUUAUGUACAGGAAACUGGCUUUGGCCGCCUCCUGGCGAUGAUCAUAUAUUGAGCUAAGACUUAGCAAUGCGAAGUAGUACCAUAAGCAGCUGUAUUAUUCUGAAAGGACACAGAUCCUUUCUAAUUUAUGACUUGGAACAGAAAUAUUAAGUGGACCAGUGGUGACCAAACCUCUUGGCCACUGCAUCUUGGGCCAAGUCUGAGGUGUCUGAUACUGCCACUUUAAAAAUCCUGUCAACUGCAACUCUCUUUUUCCUGCCACUCCAGCACUAUGGUGCAGCAAAAAUUAGUUUUAUAACUUUUUCUUUUGUUUGCUAUUUGCCAAAAAGGCUGGCACAACAGAUGGAAGGGAAGACAGUUAUUCUGUUAUUUCUUCUUAAUGUUUGCGCGCGCGCGCGCGCACGCACACACACACAGAGUAUUUUCCCGUGUAUAACACGCACCCAUGUAUAAGACAACCCCUAUUUUUGGGAGUCCAAUUUAAGAAAAUGGGAGGAGAUGGCUCAGAGUUGUUGAGCUUUUUAGGGAGGGGAUUGCCAGAGUUGUUGAGCUUUUUGGCGGGGCGAGGGGGAUGCAAAAAAAACAACCCUCACCCGACUGACAAAGGCUGCCAAUCGCACACGAAGCCAAAACUGCCAAGCGUCUGCCUGCUCACAACUAUGGACGACAAUCGUAGGAACAAUUGUUGCAGUGGCAGCCAAUCCACAACAACCCUUGCCGCAGCCACCAUUCACCUACACAAUUGCUGCUGACAAGCUCCUGCUUGCGGCUGCAACCAAUCUGCACUAUCCAUGUAUAAGAUGACACCUGAUUUUGAACAUUACUUUAGAGUAAAAAACCCCUCAUCUUCUAUAUGGAAAAGUACGGUAGUUCAUGUAUUAUUAUUAUUAUUUUUUGAAAAAAAUGCUAUCAAAAUGCAAAAGAUAUUGUGUGAAAAUGACAGACAAACGGAAGUGAGACAAUAGUGGUCAGAUGAUUAGGAGCUGAAUCAACAUAGCAGCUGUUUAAGUAUUGUCAGGUUUUGUUUUUGCAUCCUGCAGCUUCCAAAAGUGUAACUAUGGUAAACAAAACACUUGUGCAAUUAUCAUUCCUGUGAUAAGUGUGUGUGUGUUUGUGUAAGUAGUGUUUUCUCACUAUGCCAAGCUUAUCUCUGUCUAGAAAAAAAUAAUGAAUGAGCCUUCUCAUGUUAGUGAUAGCACCACAGAUCCUUAAAGGGUUCCCUAAAGAGUCCAGAUGUGUGAGCUUUGCUGAUGUGAGAAGUUCUAUUGUAAGACGUCCAGCAGUUUGGUACUUCCUGCAAGGUACAGGUAUAGGAUAAUUUUAACUUAACCUGAGGGGGGAAAGUCACAGAUGGGUGGUGAUUAAUGCUGCUUUGUUCCUCAAAGUGUUGAUGUGGCAAAGUGUCCAAAUGCCAUUGUUUUCUGCAGUCUCAGGGCAACCAUUAUAGUUGCAAAAUUAAGCAUACUCUUAAGUGCUUUGUGGGACUGUGCCUCAGAACAGAUAAAGCUUUGGUAAAAACUGGUUGAGGAGUAGUGGGGGGGGGAGUCUUUGCUGAGCCAAUUUGUGUCCACAAAACAUAAUGCAGGGGCCUUGUAGAGUGUGUGUGUGUGUGUGUGUGUGUGUGUGUGUGUGUUUGUUUGUUUCUUAGAGCUUUUCUCCACAUGGAUUUCUCAUCUAAAAUAAAUUAUUGGUUUAAGUGUGAAACAAGCAUAAGCCCUUUGAAGAUGACAGGCCCGGGAAAGCUGAUCUCAACCAGACUUUCAGGGACAAGUGUCCAUUUGUCCACUAGGGGCACUGAGUUGGCAUCUAAGCCCUAGCCAUUGUUGUCUCUGAUGUUGUCUGGAGAGUCUGAUGGACAACUUGCUGGACUCUUUAAGAUACGAACAAUGACCAUUUUCUUGGCAUAAGUUCUUAAGGAAGGACUGCCAUAAAAAAGAAGGCUGGGCCUUCUAAGGCGGUACAUCAUAGCAGGAAAAUGGUAAUGCUUUUUUUACUGGAACUGGAACAUAGCUUGGAAAACCCAAUGACUGUCAGAACUUUAAAAUUUGUCAGAAGACCCCAGACUGUGGAGGCUCUUGCACUAGAGCUACUGGGGGCAAAGCACAUAAAAAAAAAUAUCCUGUCCACAGAUGUGCAAAGAAUAAUUGGUGUCUUUUAAUGAGGAGAUAAUGGCACUCAGCACAUUUAUAAUGACACAUUUCCUGUACGGGUCUCACUGUGAUGAAGGCAGCAAGGAUAAAAUUGCAGCCCUACCAAGUCAAAAUGUUACCAGCUGCCACCAGACCCCAUGAUGUGCCGCAUCAAUAAAUACUUAAAACAAUAAUAGUAAACCAUAGUGAAAUAUCAGCAGUUGGUCAGUACACAGGCCAGAGUCUCAGCAUUAAUGCACAGGGAAGCCCUCAGCAUUAUUUUUUUUUUGGGGGGGGGUGUUGUUAGAAAUUAUUUUUGUUUGAAGUUUGCUUGUUUAUUAUUCCAUCAACCUAUUUAUGUACUUUGGGCAUUAUGCUUCCAUAUGUUUAACUGCUAGCCCCCAUGUAAUAUUUUAGUUUUGAAAUAAAAAACUGAAAAUUAAUUUAAAAAAUUAUGGAGCACUUUGUCUAAAUAAAGACCAUUUCGUAUUCUACUGCACCAUGACUACUAAAUAACUCCCUGCCUGUUUUAUUGAUUGAUGGUCCUAGGCAUGAGCAGGAUCAACUUCCUAGUUCUUUGAUGUGGUAAAGUUUCAGAGUCCAGGUUCUAUACAAGACUACAGAAAAGGUACAAUGAAUUUGAAGGAUGUUGUCCUAAGACCAUCUGUGUGUAAACCAGAGAAACUAAAAUCUAAUUAAGGAUUGCCACAGCAGGCUUUAUGACACCACCACCCGCAUGAAGAAGUAUGGCAAUAACCUUACUGUCUCAAAGAAAAGCUAUAGGGAGCUUCUGAUUCUACCCAGAUGCCACUAAAUCCAGUGCCACCUAGUGACUAAAAUAUAUAAUGACACUAUACAUAAGCACAUUUAGAAUAACAUGCUAAUUCUGGCCCUUUUGCCAUAUUAAUGAGUAGAUAGAUAAAUUUAUUAAGUUUAUAUCCCACCUUUCCUCUAAGAAGCUCAAUAAUGGUGUACAUGGUUUUUCUCCUUCCCCUUUUGACCUCACAAUAACCCUGGGAGGUUGGUUAAGCUCAGAGACAAUGACUGGCCCAAGGGAUUUGAACUCUGGUCUCCCAAGGUCCUAGUCCAGCACUGUAACCAUUACACUACACUGCCUCGCUACCAAAACAUGCCCAGUUCCCAUGAGUAACAAUGGCAAUCUGUAAACAUCUGAACAGUUUCACAGUCAGAGUUGAAGAUUAACAUUUGCGCCUACUCCCUUUCUUGGCCAAAAUAUUCAUUCCUGCUUAAUUUUUCUUAUUUAUGCAAACUUCUGUCAGCAUUUGACAUGGCUGGCUUCACCAGAGUGUUUCUGAUGCUAACAAAGUGUUUCCAAAAGGGUUUGAGGGGGGAAAGUUAUAUAUUUCCUGUCAUUUAUCAAGAUAAAUUGGUUUCAUUGCUUUGUGGAAAAGACUCCAUCAAUUUAUAUGAAAGUGAAGAAAGAGGAGGAGGGGAACUUUUUAUAUGUGAGGAUUAAAUAAUGGCUUUCCUUAGCAGAUUUUUCUUCACUUUGCAUUCCCGAUUAAAAAUAUCUAUUUUAGUUUAGUCUUUCAAAAUGAGGAAAUGGGUCUGUGGUUGUUCGUUGUAAUGUUGGUGCCACGCACAGCUUUGUUACUAACGUUUAUUUAUUGUGCAUAUCUUAGCUUUAUAAAGGAUAGGUUCCAAAAAGAAGAAGACAAGAGCUAGCGCAUUUGAAUAAUGUAUCUGACAUUUCUUAAUACAGGGCCAAGAACUUGGUUUAUCAUACCUGAAAGAACAGAGCAUGCAUGAUUUCCACCUAGUGCUGUUCCCAUGUCUCCUACAAGCCAUUCAAGCUUUGCCAUUAAGAAAAAUGUCACUUACGUUUUUUUCUCUCAUCAUAAAAUUAAAAAUUCAAAGUCAAUCUCUUUAGCAUAUGACAUGGAUCAAGGGGAAAAGUAAAUAAAGAACUUCAUUACUAAGUAAUUGUAGGGCUCUGCAAUUUAGUUUGAUCAUGAAUGACUGUACUUUUAUAUAGUUAACCUUUUAAAGAUACUUUUGGCUGGUGUGUUCUGCUUCAGCAUAAUCUAGGUGACCUUUUUGGUCAUGUUGCUCCAUAAGACUUUGAAUUAACAUUUGUUCUCAUAAGGUUGUAUUUCAAAACUUUGAUUCUUUUAUUGGGACUCAGCCUGUCCAAUUGUAGUUUCCAGAGCAGAAAAACAAACUGCCUUUCCCUUGUCUUUUCAAGUGGUGGGAUCUGCUAAGAUGAAAAUAACAAGCAAAUCUCUGGCUCUGCAUAUGGUUCUCUCUACAGUAUAUUACUUCUUUGUGUUACAGACACUAGCCUAGCCUUUGACAAUCUGGUGCCCUAUAAAUGUUUUGGACAGAUGUCUUGUCCAAGACUGAUGUGGAUUUACCAUGCCAAACACCUGUAAGUUGGUGAAGGUUGCACUAGCCCAAUCUAACUAAAGUUAUCCAUGGCUAAGUUUUAUUCAAACAAAUAGAAGUCAGAGCAACCUUAAGUAUUUUUAUUAUGGGACAAUAAUUUAGUCCUUGGUCUUUAUAACUCAAGAUCCUUGAGGAAGGAUUAGUCUAAAAAAAAUAAAUUCAAAACUCUUUUGAACAGUAUCUUCACUCCUUCCCCUGCAAAUAAUUAUGUUCUCUAAGAAUUGGGGAGUUCUUAUUGGGAUUUGCACUAAUUCUGGUGUUGGCAUGCCCAUAACAUUGCUUUUCAAGGGCUGCAUCAUACCUUAUGUUCACCAUAGAGAUGUCACCGAAAGCAGUGUUCCAUGACAGGCUAUCCACUACUAUCCUAAUCGUUAGAAUUACUUGCCACAGAGAACACUCUGUAGUAUAUCUGUACCAUAAUUGCCAGGAUCAUUGAAUGGUGGCACAAUGAAUGGAGGCACGAUGGAUGUACUUCUUUCAUAAAAACAUAGGAAUAGCUACCAAAGUCAUGAAAUAUAAAGCUAUGAGUGGUUACUGUGAGUGGUCCACCUCUACCAUUGGAUGCAGUGUGCCUCUGAAUGCCAGUUCAUAGGAAUCACAAGUUGGGAGAGAAGAAGAAGAAGAAGAGUUUGGAUUUGAUAUCCCGCUUUAUCACUAUCCGAAGGAGCCUCAAAGCAGCUAACAUUCUCCUUUGCCUUCUUCCCCCACAACAAACACUCUGUGAGGUGAGUGGGGCUGAGAGACUUCAGAGAAGUGUGACUAGCCCAAGGUCACCCAGCAGCUGCAUGUGGAGGAGCGGAGACGCGAACCCGGUUCCCCAGAUUACGAGUCUACCGCUCUUAACCACUACACCACACUGGCUCUUAGAGUGCUUGCACACUGCCAUGGGCAUCUGGUUGCUACUGUGAAACAGGAUGCUGGGCUGAAUGGGCUGGCCUGAUCUUUCAGGCUCCUCUUAUGUUUUUUAUGUACUCCGUGAAGCAAGUAGUUCUACAUGUUCUAUUGGAGAAUUCAAUUAAGGAUGGCCUACAGUAUUUUCCAGCCCGAAGCCUCCUGCUAUUUCACAAAGACGGACGUGGGAGUAAAGGUAAUGCCAGCCACACUACCUUGAAAGUGGCCAUGACUUCAAUAACAGCUUGAUUGCUCCCCUCCUAUUGGGCACGCCUGUCCAUGUGAUGCCGAAGGCACUCUCCUCAUAUGAGAGACCAACUUGCAUCUUCUCCCAAGAAAGGGGUAGUAUGGCAAAUUCACCCCUGCUAAAGGGCAGGAGUGGCAUAUUCUUCAGAGAAGAAGCGAGCCUCUUGUUUUUGUGGAAAGUCCUGUUUUAAUAGAGUUCAGAGGAAUUACUACUUCUGAAUUAGAAACACCAUGUUAGAAUAAAGCAAAACGAAAAGAGUGUGUUCUUGACAGCUGGAUUUAUUUAUAGCUUCUGGUCAUUUAAAUUAUCCACACAGCCUGAAAUCCCCAGCCUUAUUGCACCUCACAGCCAUAUUGAAUUUCAUCCAGCUGAGACGCACUGAAGUCUAAGUGGUAUAAUAAAAUUCUAAUCAUGUGUAGCAUUACGUAGCAAUAAAGCUGAAAUUCUGCUAUGUGCCGUUGCCCUUUUGUCUCUCUAUACAAGUCCCUUUGACUAAUUUUAGACAUCAUAUUUCACAGGUAACCCUUGCAAAGAAUGUGCAUGAAUUCUUAAAACUGAGCUGCAUGUUAAUUUCACCUUAAAAACUUAGCUGGUUUUUAACUAUUUCCCAUGAGCAGUAGGAUUCAGGAGUCUGCAGUUUGCUGUUGAUGGGGAAACAAGCCAGGGUGUGUAUAGUAAUGUGCAGAAACAGCCACAAGAGCAAUGGCUCUCUCUCUCUCUCUCUCUCUCCCCCCGCCGCCCCCGCCCCACGCCGGGCCACAAUUUCAGAAUAAAAAUCUGCUCACACAACACUGAAUUUUUAAUUGAUAUAAGAAAUACAGUGGAAACAAAAAGAAACAACUCCUAGCAGUGCUUGAAUAAUAACAUAGGACAUAACUGCUUUAUAAUGUCAUGGGCAGCGCUGCAACCCCAGAGUCGGCCACUACUGGACCUAAUGGUCAGGGGUCCCUUUACCUUUAUGAUAAUAUCAUCCAGAAAGUAUAAAACAGUGCAGCUACAUAAGAACAUGAAUCAUUCCCAAAAUAUCCAGAUUCUAAAAAAUAAUACUACACCAUACUGAAAGGUUGAUAUUUUGCUUUGUCCUUGAAUCUUCCCACCACACUUGCCAUCCUCUCCUGCCACAACAGAGAUGCACACCACAGCCUUUGAGAACCACUGCACUAAUUUCUGAUCUGCUGUUUUGUUUGUCCCAAUUCAUGCCACAUCCUUCUAAAAUGGUAUAGAGGGUUGCAGUUAUUGUUUACUUGUGACCAAGCAGGAUAAAGUCUGCAAUGGCUACAAUCCUAACCAUGUCUACUCAGAGGUAAGCUUUAAUGUAUAAUAGGUUAUUGUAUUUUAGUGUUUUGUUGGAAGCCACCCAGAGUGGCUGGGGAAACCCAGCCAGAUGGGCGGGGUAUAAAUAAUAAAGGAUUAUUAUUAUUAUUAUUACUACUACUACUACUACUACUACUACUACUACUACUACUGAAUUCAGUGGGGCUUAGUCGCAGGUAUGGAUUGCAGCUUUUGCUGUUCCAGGCCAAGUGUCUCUGUAUCUACAUAUAUAAAAAUGGACAGACAAUAUCAUUACGCUCAGUUGCUUUACACAAUUGUCUCAAAGUGACUUAUGUGUACUAGGAAAAUACACAAUGCAACAUAUAAAAAGCAAGAUUAUUUAAAUGUUAAGCAGUAUUCAAGGUAAACAAACCAUAAAACCAAUUGCUCCAACCCUUCACAUAAGUCUAAUGGUCACAGAGAGCUGCAACCCAUUUUUUUCUGCAAAGAAAAGACUAACACGCAAAUGCCUGAAAGAAAAGACAAUCUUUCGCUAAAAAUAUGUCAGUGUUGGCUCCAGGUAAGCUUCCCUGGGGAUAGCAUUCCAUAGAAGGGGAACACUGCUGAAAAGGCCCAUAAUUCCCACAUCAGACAGUUGCCAGAGCAUAGCACUGGUUAAAUAUGAAUGAUAGUUUCUACCAGGAGGCUUUUUGUGUUUUUUUUUUACCUCUUAUUUUGUUGGGAACCUAGCAGUGGAUUUCCACAGUAUUCUGCUGAUGGGAUUCUUAGCUUUAAAAUUUGAUUCAGAAAGCAUUUUGAAAUGUUGCAAGGUAAAAAAAACUACUGUGGUCCCUCCUGAUAUGCUUCUCUCUGCUUUUCUGGAUGGGAUCUGGAAGCUGAGACUAAAAUCUGCUGCAUGUUUGGCCUCCAAAAGGGUAUAGUACAAAAUCCUUUGGAACUUAUUAACUUUCACCAAUGUUGAGGACACGUGACUGGGGUUUGGAGGAGGAAUAAAUGUGGCAAUUAUCUCCACCUGCCGAUCUGGGUAGUAUCAUUCAUAUAGAAAUGGGAGGAACAGGAAUGGGACCUCCUUCUCCAGGGAUAGCAGCAGCAGGAUUACACUUGCUGAGCAAGGGUUGGGCAUAAUCCAAAGAGAACUCUCUUUUAAAAAAUUUAAUCCAGUGGUCCAGAGUGUUUAUAAAAAGAAUUCACCAUAAACUAAACACUGUACUUCAUUGUAAUGUUCCCUUGAACAUUUAGGGAAUGGUAAUAUCUAAGCGCCUUUGGGAGAAAGGUUAGGAUAUAAAUUUAAUAAAGUAAUAUCUUACCAAACUGAGAUUUCAUUUUGUGUAUUCCCAGUUGGACAGGUUGAGUCCUAUUGUGAAAAGUGCACACACAGGUGCUGGAAAAUGUCAGCAAAUUAAGCAGUGCUUCCCCUUCUGCAGUCGAAGGCAGCCUGAGAGAUGCAGAGGGGUCCUGCUCAAAAAACGGCUCAGAUGAAAAUAAAAAAUACAGGUUUUCACUAUUUCAUGUAAUAUUUCCAGAGGUCCCUGUUCAAAAACAAAUGUAUAAUUACAGCUUUGAUUAUUGAUGCUGCUUUAUUUACCCCUUUGUACUUGGUUGCCAGAAUUGCCAAUAGUGCCUCUAACUGCACUGGUUUCAUUUAUGAACUUAUGAUUAACAAAACAAGUCUCUUAUCUGAGACUUAUGCCAUUGCACAGUUUAUAUUACAGCCACUACAGUCAACUGAUAUCAAGCUGAUGUGAACCAGUGUGCUGUCACUAUGUCAAAUUGCUAUACUGAUUCAUCCUUGUUCUGAUGUCUAAAUAGUUUUAAGUCAAAUGGGGAGGGAGGACUCUCUCUCUCUCUCUCUCUCUCUCUCUCUCUCACACACACACACACACACACACACACCACAUUCGUUCUUAAAAUCAUAGCAGAUGAGUUCAAAGAUACUGCAUUACAUAAUUUCCAAUGCUUGUUUUGAAUUCCUGGGCCCUCUAGGAGCCUCUGGUAAUGUUUUUCUGGAGGCCAACUCUCUUUCAUCCAAUAAUUCUCUUAUGUAAUUUGUGUGUGCACGUAUAAAAUGUCAUUCCAGAGGAAAAUAAUCAUGGAAUGAUUAAAAGGUGAAACUGAAAUACUAUGAAAGAACAGAACAGAAGGUAUUUCACUCCAAGAAUUCAAUGGGGCAAACAGAAAAUGUCCUUGUGCACACUUCCAGUUCCUUGGCGCAUCCAAAAGAGAACUGUCUCUCUCCAGUGGAGUGGAGGUGUGAUAGUUUAAUUUCAAAUGAGGUAGGAAUGGGGAGGAAUGAAAAACCCAGAAUAUGAAUGUAUUGCUACAGCCAGAGUCUGUUAGUGAAUAUUAGGAAUUAAUAAACGGUAGGAUUUAGAUAAUAUUUGAUACUGCAAUAAAAUAUAAUUUAAGAUCAUUGAUCCCCCAAAAUGCAAUCAAACAAAUAUCCUAUUUAAAAAUAUACCUUCAACUUUCUUAUGUCUAUGUCUCACCAAUAACAUAACAUUUCUUUAUUGUAUUUUACAUUUUCUUGUUCCAAUAAGAUAGGAACAAACGUAGUUUUCGGAUAAAUCUGUGGUCCUGCCGUCCUUGACCCUGAUUAUGUUUGUUACUUUUAUCAUCUGUGCUAAGUCCUAGACCUUACUCAGCCAAUUUUUUUUAAUCCAGGAUGUUUUGGUCCAUCCCCCACCCUGCUCCUGGCAUAUGGUCAUUCAAAUGGCAGUUAACAGAUGAAUUAUAAUUUCUUGGUCCUCCUAAAGUCCUCUUUAGCAUAGCCAAGUAAUAUUAUUAAAGGGUCCCUUGGUUGAUCAUAGCCUGCAAGUUCUUCUAUUAAUAUUUUAUCCCAAUAUAAUUUGAUUUUUGGACAUGACUAUAAAAUAUGAAGAAAGCCUUGCUUUUGAGCAUUUGUUUUGUACCUUCAUUACUCUUCAGAGACUAGAUUGCUUUCCCCCACCCCCACUUUCUGAAACAGAGAGCUCUUUAAGUUUAAAUAUGCAUUGAAGGCUGCCUGAAGCCAUUUGGUUGCUUCAAAGAGAGAACUGGCAAGGCUUUGGUCCGACAAGGACACAAGAGGCUGUAGUUCUAUAUCUGCUUACCUGGGAGUAAGCCCCAUUGAACUCAACAGGAAUUAUGCCAGAAUAGUCAUGUAUAUACUUGCAUUGUGUUUUUUGUUCACUUGGCAAGCUGUGCAGUAAUCAGAAUCUGGUAAAUUUACGAAUGGGCCUGCUUCUGCCAGACUAACCCUUAGCCCAGGGGUCAGCAAACUUUUUUCAAGAGGGGUCUGUUCGACUGUCCCUCAGACCUCUCCUGAAAGGACCCCCCCUCCCAAAAGUACCCCCCUGCCGUCACUCACGCCACAGCCACCGAUGCCACCUCGUCUUUGGCAGCAUUGUCGUUGUCCUCUGCCUUGGCCAGGGGUCUGCGGGGGCGCAGAGCACAAGCCGCUGCCCUGGGCGGCAGAGGCAGCCUCCUCGCCACCGCUUCCUCCCGCUCGGCUCUUGGCCAAACGCAGCCACUUCAGUGGGAAGGAAGGGGCAUCGUCCAGAGGCGUCCGCAGCUUCAGCUUGGCUACAGGAGCUUCCUGCAGCCAAUCUGAAACCGCACCAGUGUCACCGCCUGCCCAGAGGCGCCCACGGCUUUGGAUUGGCUGCAGGAAGCCGUGCCAGAAUCGCGGAAGUCAGUCCCCACGCGGCAAGGACUCCGCUCCUUGCCGGUUAAGCGCGGGGACUGACCAAGUGGGAAGCAGGGCCCGUGGGCUGGAUUUACAAGCCCGGUGGGCCACAUCCGGCUCCCGGGCCUUAGUUUGUUGACCCUUGCCUUAGCCAGACUACUGGACUGAAAAUUAGUUGUGGUUUGGGGUGCUUGUCUCAUAAGGAGUGAUUCCUCUGACCCCCAUCUAACAAUACUAACUAAAACACCUCACUCUUAUAUUCUGUCAUGGAAAUAAUAAUUGCAUUACUUCAGGUGUAGGGAACCUCAGGCCUGGGGGACAAAUGCGACCUCCAGCCCUUUCGUUCUGUGCCUCUCAAGUUGAGUUUUGAAUUCAACUUUUUUGAGAUGGCAGCAACACCGCUUGAGGGUGAGGGCCCUGAGAGUGGUGGGCUUUGUGCUCCUUGGCUACAAUCACCAAUUUCUUGCCAUAUCAUUAGACAGUUUUACACAAAGACACUGGAACUGCUCUACAAUUAGGCAGAGCGAAGCAGUGCCCUCAGACAGCAACUGCUGAGGGUGGCAGGAGACCCCCACAAUUCCCCAAGUCAACUAAGAUAGCCUGUAGCCCUCAGCUGUGGGGGAGGAUGUUGUCUCAUUGCCACUGUUGGAAGAAGUUUCAACUGCUCUUCUGGUACAUGGAACAACAGCAGUGGGGAUGGGUGGGUGGACAGGAGUGCUAAUUUGCCCUUACCUUCAGGCAGCAAAAUGACUUGUGCUGUCUCAACAAAAGCACAACCACUUGCUUCCUUCAAAAAAAAUAGAGAUGAGAUUCACCUGGAAAGGACGGCGCAACUGAGAAAACAAAAAGGGAAACAGUGAUGGUUAAGACAGUGCUUUUUAAGGUCUGUGGGCGACAACCACCACUAUAAUAAAUACCUAUCCAAAUGCUGGAUAAUUUAUGAUGCUUCCUGGUUCUUGUCACGCGCAAAAUACAAUUUGCAUUAUUUCAGAAGAGUAGAAGUUCUUUUCCAUUACUGUUGGGGAUUUAAUGAAACAUACUGUAUAUUUUUCUUUCUUCCUGUUGUUAUACAUAAUAAUGCAUUUCUAUCCUAUAUUAGCAUGCUGUUGUUUUUAAUAUUAGCAUUUUGGUUUUGCAUCUCAUGAGAUCAGUUUAGUUUAGUUUAGAAGCUGAAAAUGUGACUUUAUAGGUGAGACAAAACAUUCAUUGGUUCCUAGCUGAAAGUCAUGAUGUGUUACAAAUGUGCUUAUAAUGAAGUGCUCCCCAUCCCACUUUUGGAUUCUUAAAAGGAAAACACUACUGGACUUGAGCUUAUAAGGUGCCUGUGCUGGACCAGUGACCCUGCCCACUUUAUCAGCAAAGGCUGCUAAAUGUGUAACAUUUUCUAUUCUAGGAAAUGAUAAAGGUACAGAAGCUUGUUUGUAUACUCACAUCUCAUUAGCUGGAGUAACAAAUGUAUUUUAUUUUAUUUUAUUUUAUAUUUAGUUCGUUAGUUAUUAGUUCUCCCUGUUAAUUCUCCUUGACCUCUCAGUGUCAUGGUAGCCUUCUGGAGCGGUUGUACGAGCUGGGAAUGGGUGGCACCGCUUUGUGGUGGCUCUGGUCCUACUUGGAUGGAUGUUUCCAGAGGGUGAUGUUUGGGGAGUGUUCUUUGGCCCUGUGGAGUCUUCAAUGUGGGGUUCUGCAGGGUCUGAUUUUAUCUCCCAUGCUGUUUAACAUCUAUCUGAAACUGUGGGGGCCAUCUGGAUUUUGGGUAUAUGUUGUCAGCAGUAUGCUGGUGACACACAGCUCCAUUUCUCCUUUAUAUCUGCAGGCAUGGCAGUGGAUGUGCUGGACCGUUUUCUUGCCUUGGCAAUGGACUGAAUGAACAAAACAGCAGAGGGAUUUGAAGAGAUGGACCAUGACUGCAGAGACAAAGCCACCAAGCCUGGAUUUGGAGAUGAUGAUUCAGGCUGGAUUUUUGCCAGGAAGUUGCAAUGCAUCAGAGUUUUCAAGGUCGAAAGUCAGGUGCUCUGUAUAAUUAAGCAAACUGACAUUGUCAGCUAAUGCAAAGGGAAAAGCAUUGCUGUCAGCAGUCAUAUCAAAAGUGAACAGGACAGCACUGUCCCUUCUGUAAAGGUACGUAUAUAAAAUGUCCAUUUGGCAUUAUAUACCCGGAAUGGAUGCUUCAGGUAGUGACGAAAUUAGAUAUUAGCUUGGCAAGAUUCACUUGUUGCAGCAUGUGGGAUUCCAGAUAUUUGUUUGCCAGCUUGAUAGAAAUAAGGUAUGUGAUCAGCAUUUCCUAACCACUCCAACACCACACACACAGAUACCUCACUCCCCAUUCCUAAACUUACAUUUUCUAAUAUAUUUUGGGUGUUUUUUUAAGGUCAUUGCCAAUAUUUUACCUUUAUUUACAGAGUAAUCCUACCUUCCUGAAUGAGGAGAGAGCUGUGGCACAGCCAUUGCUGCAGGGAGAACCUAGCUGUAUUGCGUUGGAUAGGGAGAGGCAAGUUUUUGAACUGCGUUUGUAUUCCUUUUGCAUUUUAUCUUCCAUUGACCACAGUAGGAGCGAAAUGCAUACACCAGCUUUGGACUGGCGUAUGGUGUGCAGGGGGAGGGGAGAGACAUGUCCAAGGAAUAUUAAGGCCCUGGAUCCUGCAAAUCCAUGGCCUUCCCCAACCUGCCCCCAGAAUGCCUUGUUUGUGGCUUCUUUACAUACAGAGGACCACCAGUAGAACAGUGGCAGCAGUGGAGCUUUCUACCAUUGCACUGUGAGGACGUGUAACUGCAGACCUCCCUCAUGAAAAGGGAGCCUGCAGUACCCGAUUUCUUGUUGACUGUCCUCCACAAAGGCUUAGGCUUUGUUCCAUUAAGAAUAAACAAAUUUUUGAAUGACUGUUGAUAAAGACUGCAUAAACAUGGACAGAUUCACUUGGUUUCACUCUGGACAAGGCCGCAAGUGACCAUUCACCUUCAACCUUCCUUUUUGAAUCUCUGAUUGAACAGGCCUCAGUGAAACCUCUUAACUCAGUGGGUUCCACUCAGCUCCAGUGGCUUCAGGGCUGUUCUUGAACUGAGGCCUCCUAUCCUCACAUGCUGUAAUGCCAGUGGUAUGCAUUGUCGUUGUGCCAGUGCAAUGAAUUCAUGACAGUAUGUCACCUUGACAUAGGGCCUCUCUGUUCAUCUGUAAUCUUUAAAACGUUGACCAGCACAUUUUCUCUUAUUGCUUCUUAAAGAUGAAUUAUGUGUAUCCCUGCAUUGCACAUUAUUUUUAUUUAUCCCUCUGCACCCCAAAAUAAUCUCAACCAAAACAUUUUCACAAGAAGGAAAUUUGAACUUAUCAGUUGUGAGAAAUUAAGUUAAAUAGGUUAUAAGAGUGUAUGUGAUAUAACUAGACAGUCUUUUGCACUCAGGAGGGUCACAUAAAAAUCACUCCAAAUACAAUUCAAAGCCCAAAGAAGUAAAAAUAUAAAAAAGAAACCACAACAAACAGAAAGCUAAAAAUCUAUAAAAAUGCAGAAUCAGCAGCAAUAAAAUUUUAUUAGCCAGCUUCUUCAAAAGCCUUUCAAAAUAAGGAUGCUUUGAUUAACUCAUAAAAGGCAACGAGGAAACUAGCCUAGUGAGCCUCCCUCGUCUUUCACAAAGAUGAGAUGCCACCCAGGAGAAAGAAUGGCUUCCUAACGCGGGAAAACUGAAGUGAAUGCAGGCAUUCUUCCAAGACUGUGAGUUGGGCCAGAGCACUUUGCGAUUGAAAGGAUCAUAGAAGAACUUCAGCUUUGCCUGAAAACCUAUGAGCCAGUGAAGCUCUCAGAAUGGAGGUCUCUGCAGCAGCUUUGGUCAACGAUGAAGGGUGAUGCUUGCUUUUUUAUUAUGUAUAGUAAUAGUAUUUUCACUGAAUUUUGUUUUCAGUUUAUAUCAACACUACAAACACAACAAUAACAAUAAAAAGAAAACUAAAGUAAAACAGAAUGCUGGUUGAGGGAGGAAGGAAGGGAGGAAAGGGAAGAGGAGCUGGGUCAAAACUCUUAUGUUUUUCUCAUUUUCUAUUUAUGGAGCUGUCAUAAAAUAUAUUUGUAUGCAGCGAGCACUGAAUUUGCCCUAUAGUUUGGCAGGCAUCUAAUCUCUGUAAUAUACACUAUUUACUUAUUCAUAAGACAGUUUUUAAACCAUCUCAUUUAAAAAUAUGACUAAAUUCAUUAAAACACCAUAAAAUACAAAUGGUCAACAAAUGAAUCCUGUAAAUAAGUACUGAUAUGGAAAAAAAAAUGCAUAGGAUGCAGCUAGUUCAUGCAACUGAUCCAUUCCCACUGUCUUGGGGUAAGGACACAAUACUUUAGGGAGGUAUCCCAUCAAUGCUUUUUUGUCCAUAAAUCUUAGAUCUGUUUACAAUUGUGUAGCAACAGCACAGUACCAGAUAAUAUUUACCAAGUGUCCUUCGGUAUCAAGGCACCAGCAGUUAGAGGAGGAGAGAAUAUUUUUCAUAAUCACAAUGGGGACUCAUAUGUCCUAUAUAGCAAUUUCUCUUGUAAGAGGCAUUGUCUUGAACCAUGAGCACCGCCUCCCACUGUGGUGGGAGUGUUUGAUUCUCCAGCUUCCUGUUCUGUCCUACACACAUCAAAUUGUGCUGCAUCAGUUUUUGUUCUAGCCAUAAGCCAAUGGUAAAAAAAUAAACCAUUGGUUUGGAUAGUGUUGGUAAACAAAGUAGGCUACCUAAUAUGGGCAGCAGUUUAGAAACACUUGGGUUGGAAGGAGCAAAUUUAGAAUCUAACUCACAUUUCUGGUUGUGUUGCAACCACAAGAGUUAGGUAGUCAAUAUUUCUUGAUGGUAAGAAGAAAACAAAACACCAAAGCCACUUCCCUUGAGGAUGGAAAUAUUCUUAACCAGCUUGAGACUAAAUGUUUUCAAAGACAGUCCAUGCUGGGUACAAGGAAGUUGAGGGGGGACUAAGAUGGCAGUGAGAUCCCUAGAGAUGUACUUCAUGCAUUUACUUCAUGGCUAUAUAGCCUCCUCUAUCUCUUAUACUCACAUCCCCCCCGACACAUUUCUGUUUCCAAAGUGAUCACAGUCUAAACAAUCCAAGUACCUGGCCUAAUAUUUCCAAGACAGUCCACCCCAUAAGUCUCCCUUUCAGUGUUCAUCACUUUUAUUUGGGUUAUCAAACAUUCCAAUCUCCAUUCCCUAAUCAAAAACAGAGAGCCAUAAUUCUCAAAUAUUGUUAGGUUUGUUAUCUUGUGGUCACAUGUAGUUACACCUAGACAGAGACUGUUAUGAAGGUUUCCUUUCAUUACUGAAAGUGGAGACUUGACCUGCUGUUGAGCAGGCAAGAUCAGAAGUCCAGGUUCCAAUUACUUACAUCAGGUCUGGCCAAUACUAGCAGCCAAUCACAGGAAGAGAAUGGCAUUCAUAUCCAGGAUUAAUGUAUAUGUCCAGUUGUGCUUGGUUUUAGCUACAUAACUAGACAGGUAAAAGGUAAAGGUAAAGGACCCCUGGGCAGUUAAGUCCAGUCAAAGGCGACUAUGGGGUUGCAGCGCUCAUCUCGCUUUCAGGCUGGCGUUUGUUCACAGACAGCUUCUGGCAUAACGGGACACCUAGAAAGCAAUCCUAAUGGUGUCUACUCAGAGGCAAAUCUCAUUGAAUUCAAUAGGGCUUACUUCCAGUUAACAAGUGUUAGGAUUGUAGCCUUACUGCAGUUUAAACAACAACAAUAAUAUAAUAAUUUAUUAUUUAUACCCCAGCCAUCUGCCUGGGUUUCCCCAGCCACAAGUGUAGAACAUAAACAAUACAACCAGAAUUUUGCACUGGAGGUGAAUAGCGCCCACUGCAACCCAAACACUCGCAAAACACCUUAAUCCAGGCAUUAAAAUCUUUGCAGUGAUUGGAAUGUUUAAUUUCAUGAUAAUUUUACAUAUAUAGUUAAUUAUGUUUUUGUUCCUUUUCGUAGAGCCAGGAACAGAAGGUAAGCAAAUGAGUGCCUACAAAAAUAAAAAAGGCAGGCUUAGUAUUUGAAAUUGUCUGUGAAGAUUGUGAGAAGGUAAACUACAGAGACUGUAUGGCUGGGCCAUCUUGUCCGACUUUAUCAUAAGGAAAAAGUGAUUCUUGUGCAGUGAAGUUCACUUUGCCUAGAUCUUUAGGCCUGAUUGCUAAUUAUACUGCGAACAAACACUCUGCUCGAAAACCAUGUCAAACCUAGGUAAAUUAUGGGAUAAAAAUAAAAUCCAUUUAAAGCAAGAUGAGUAGAGAAUGUAUAUUUAUAGCUGCAGAACAUGAGCCAGACUUGAACUAUCAAUUCCUCACUUUGUCAUUUAAGAUUAUUAUUUUUAACUGUUAUUAUAAAUCCGUAUCUUGACAUUUGUUUGUUAUGUUUUGUCUUCAUUUAAUAUAGCUCCUCAGUGUUCAGUUAGGCAAGAGAACUGUUCUGCUCAAGUUCUAACAGACACAACUGAUCCUAGCUGCACAGAAUAUGCUCACAGGAUUAACAAGAAGGUGCUUCCUUUAAUUUGAAGGAAAUGGGUAGCUACAUUUUUAUAAUGUGACACUCUUCUGUAAGAAUGGGUGGAAACUUCCAGCUUAAAGUCCGCAAACCCAUGUUGUCCACGUUUUCUUCCAUAAAUGAACCUGAAUUGUUCAGCAGAAACAAGAUUUAAAAAACAGUGUAACUUAUCAGAACCAAUAAUGUAACAGUAUCUACUGGUGGCAGUGUCUCCUCACUGGGGCAUAUAACCACCCUGCUUUACAGUCUGUGGUAAGUAACACUUUGGAACCUCAUCCUUCAGAUAUUGUUGGACCCCAACUCCCAUAAACCCUGAUCAGUAUGGUCAGUGGUUAGGGAUGAUGGGAGCUGUUAAUAUAGUAACACCUGGAGAGCAACAGGACCCCCACCUCUGGAUUAGGUUGCUGUUAAUAUUCAGGAUGUUUUGCUACUCCAGACAAGACUGAAAAUGCCAUCUCCAUCUGCUCCACAGCCCUGCCCCCAGUCCAGACAGCUGUGCAUCCCCUGCUAAACAUUGAAAAGCCCUUCGAGAGGUAAGAAUGAUGGGGGUGGGACGGGCAAGGCAGGAGGUAAUAGAGCGCUCCAAAAUUACUAGGAUGAACAUAGUCUUUUUACAGGAUUACAGCCCAUGCUUACUUAGUAGUAUGUUCCCUGGUAUUCAGUGGUGCUUACUCCCAGGCAAGUGGACAUAGGAUUGUGCUGUUAAUAUUAACCUCUGCACUAACCCUUCAAUGCGUAAUUUUCACAAAAUGCAGGAAGUAGAAUUAGGUUUUAGUUUGCUGCCUAUGAAAUACAACUGUAUACACAAAUCAGUGUAGCCAAUAUGCAAAUAUCCCUCUAACCCAGAAUCCUGCUCCUACAGCCAUGAGUAACAGGAGCUAGUUUUCUGACCAUUUAUAUAAAAAGCAGUGACAACAACAAACCCUGCACCCAUAAAGUCAACUCUAAACUUCAUUCAGAGAAGCAGGCUCUUGAGGGUGGGGUGGGGGGAGUCAGCUUACUGCACAAGGUAUUUUUCAUAAGUGCCAGAGGCUAAGUGAAGAUGAAUGUUCAAUAUGCAUCCUAUAAAGCAUAGUCAUAAACUCCAGAGCUGAGUAAUGAUGGUACACACUUGUAGCAGAGAGUAAUAAUGGGCCUCAUUCAAUAUACAAUAAUGUGAUACUAAAUAUUUAUCUGCCUGUCACAAAUUUAAAUGAAAUUCUUUCCAUUGCAAAAUAUGCUGUGCACAUAUAUCAUAAACUACCCUUCAAGAGGGCAGGUGGUGUAAAAGGACUAAUUUAAAAUUACAAUAAUUACCUGCAGAUCUACUGUUGCCUAACAAACCUGCUUAUCCUGUGUUAGCGAACCUCUAGUUUCACAGACAAAAGCUGGGAGUCAAAUGAGAAAGAAGGACACUCUUCACUUACUGCAUAGAUGGGCCACAUUCCCUUCUGGGCAACUUUCUGAGGACUGCAUGGCAGUGGUAGAUGGGUAUAAAUUACAAAACUGGUGUAAAUUUUACCUUUGUACAUUAUACUAGUUUCUGCAGAUAUUCCUGCACCCUUCUCUAUCCUCCAUGUGUAAACCGUCUAUUAAACUUGAAAGACACAUUCCAGCAAGCUCAUAGUAUGUAGAAUGCAUAUAUGAAUGAGAGCAGUGAGGGGUGCAACCUUGGAAGAGUGGGGAGACUUCUGAGGGCCAGAUAGACAGAUUUGGGGCUCCCCACAUAACUGCUUUAAACAACUUAGCCCUGGAGAAAUAGAAUACAUGUGACUAGUUAAUAGGGUUGUCAUAUUUCAAACAGUGAAAAGACAGAAAAGUUGUUGAGCUUUUUUGCCAUUUUGAGCUAUUUUAAGGCAAAAUCAGCACUGCUGACAUGGUGUGCCAUACAUCCAGAUUUUCCAAAACAUUUGUCCAAUUUCUGCCCGGAUGCUGUUGAUGGAUGUGGUAUUCCGGAUAUGUCUGGGAAAUUCUGGGUGUAUGGCCACCCUAGUUGUGCAAAGAUUAAGUAUCCAACUGGGAGUGGAACUAGCAGUGACCACAAACCCUCGCCCAACCCCUCUUCCAGAUUGACAUUCCAGCUGCAUCAGAAUCCAAAGGCUCUUUUUCUUCCCCUUGACCUCUCCUCACUUUCCCAACUGUCAGUUCAAGGUUGGUUUCAUUCUGCUUGGGACAAGUACCCAUGAAGGCACUGCCAGGCUACUCCUUUCUACAAGAACAACAAAACUGUCAGUUCUAAUGGGACUAGUUAGUAUGCAGCAGUGACUGGAGAACAUGGCUACCCUCCCAUUCCCUAUUUCCACUACUACACUAAACCUUUGGUGCAUUCCAGCUUCCAGAUUUAAUUCCAGAGUUCAGGCAAGUGAAUGGCUGUAUUCCUAGUUCUUCAAAACUUUACAGAAUGGAACCAUAUGUCUCUGCUCAUCUUCAGUCAGAGCAGGACUGUGGCAUCACAGGCAGCAUGGUUCUCAGGAGGAAAGGCACAUUUCAUAAAUCUAAUCUAGUUUUUAGGGACCAGAUAUCAUUGAUUCUACUUCAGGACAUUUCCUGUCCAAUUUAUAGUUCUGGGCAUGAGACAGUGCAGGGAAAUGCCGUUAACUAUUAAAAGGAAAAGAAACCGCACCCGGCAGUUCCUCAGCUUAAUGCGCAUUUUAGCAACUGCACAUUGCCUGAAGAAAGUGGCCUCAUCAUUUAGUUCAGGCUAUAAAUCCUUUGCGACAGGUCUGAGCCAUUUUGCUAACGGGUUGGAAUGAAAUCCUAUACUCUGAUUCUGGCAUGGUCUGCACAUGAAAAGCAUAGAAAACCUGAGGGUAACUUUAAUUGGGCAACAUCGGAAUCGGGAAAUCUACUAAUCCUAAUGCAAGUUUAAAUUGGGAAGAGGUAGAGAAAGAUCUCUAGUAUGUUAAUUUAUCUUAGGUAAUUCUUCUGUAAUCACCUGUGUUGGUGUUGGUGUUGUUUUUGAGGAAUAUUCAUUAUUUCUGAUCUAGCCCUGUUCUUGACUCUGUGCCAGCUACCACUCAGUAAAUAUCUUCAGCUUUAUUACCAUGACAUUUCCAUCCCUUGGAGGAAUGAGUUCAUUCAACAGCUGAUGACACAAUUUAACUGUGAUUUUAGCAGACUUAUUUCAAGAUGAUCCAUGCCAGUGUCUGUUUUGUAAUCCUUACUAAUGCUAAGCACUGAGCAAAUACCCUGAACGCAGAAGGGUUGUUCUUAUACACACUGUGACUUUCAUACUUGAGCAUCUAAAAAAGAAAAAGAAAAAAAGUAGUGUAUGGGGAUGAGUUUGGAAUACAUUACCUGGUAGGGGAAGAAACCUAUUUAUUAAAGCUGUAAUACACUACAGUUUGUUUGUGCCAAAUGUACUUUCCAGCUGGAGUCCUACCAUUCUGGGAGUAGGAAAGGCCCUGUGAUACUUGAGGACACCCUACACAAACAACAGGAGUGCGUACACAUUUAAAACUCAGUGUGUAUUUCAGACACUUAGAGGGUAUGUAUUUAGAUCAAUUUAGGAAGAUCAGCAUGACUUCUCAUUGUUGGAGACAUUGCAACAAGGGACAGGAUGACUAUGGCCAAAUACAGAAAAAACUUUUGCAGCUAUUAAUAAAGGGCCUGAAGACAGGAGUGCCCAGUGUGCUCUGGUCCAUGGGGUCAUGAAGAGUCGGACACAACUAAACGACAACAAGAACAAGGCCUUAGCUUCAGUCUUCCACUGGACUUGGUAAGUCAGAGCCAAUAAUUUAUGAAUUUGGUUUCAAAGAACACUGUCCACAAUGGAAAUUUGUCCAUGCAUUGAAAAGACCCAUGUGGACAUAAGAACAUCAAGAUUAAAUAUUUAUGCCAGUGUUGUUAAAGAAAAAAGGUUGAAGAAUCACUCUAAAAUCUAGAUGAAUCUUAAGUAGGGAACUGCAUUCACUGUACCCUCAAUGCUUUUCCAGAUUAAUUUGAAUUUAACACAUACCUUGCAGAUUCUGCAGACCAGAUACAUAACAAUGAAGCAAUAUCUGAGUAACUAGAACAGGAACGGGGAACCCCAGUCAGCCCAAGCAUUGCAUUCCCUUCUGGGCAACCUUCUGAGGCUCACCUGCCAGUGAUGGGCAAGACAAGAGGCAAAAGCGGGCAGAGCAAGAAAUGUAAACUUUAUCUUUGUACAGUAGGCUAGUUUCUACAUACAUUCACACACCCCACUCCAUCAAGAUAGGCAAGUGGCACUAAGGGUUCCAAGACAUAUUCCAACCAGGCAAACAGUUGUGGUGUGAAGCGGGGAAGGGUGUGGGCUGGGGAAAGAUCUAAGGCUCAGAUAGAGAACCCUCUGGCAUUUGGCUCCUGGACCUCAAGUUCCUCAGUCCCAAUAUAAAAAAAAUCUACAUUUAACCCUGGGACUCCACUGUCAUGUAGUCACUGUAAGCAAAUAAAUACCAUACACAGCAGGUUCCACCUUCAACAAUAUAUAAUGAUACUGUGCUUGUAAUAACAAGAAUCUAUGAAAUGUUGUAGGUAGGUGUCAUGGCUGCCACUUGGACACAACCAUUACAUGCGCCUUUCCCUGUUCCAUGUUCUCUUUCUUCUGAAUUGCACACUCUCUUCCAAGUAUCACAGAAGGGGAAGAAUAAAAGACCGAUCCAGUAGUAUGGAAAAGAAACAAAUUCUAAUCACACAUCAUUAAGUUUAAGCCAGUUAUGGAAAUAAUAUGAUGCUAUAGAAAUACAAGUUUAAGUGUGGGAAAAUCAGGCAAGAGGGAUAAAUCAGUGACAGAUUACAGAACAUUCACAGGCUGUUUUCUGUGGCAGGCCAUGUUAAAAAGGAAGGCAGCCAGUCUAGACACAUCAGUAUCUUCCUCUUGUGGUUGGACUGUGUUUUGUCUGGAACCAAUAGCUUGGAGAGCCUUCAGGGUUCAGACUUCCCAAGGGUUCUUCAGAGCCACUUGUCUUAACAACAGUGUUUGGACAUGUGCACUACAGCCAACCACAGCUCAAGAGCAGUUAACAUCCAAUUCUCUACUGAAUUCAGUGGAAAGAGCACAAAAUUAGAAACCUUCAAAAUGUUAUGUGCAUAUACAUUUUAAGCAAUGUGUGUUGUUGUUUUUUACCAACCUCUUUGAGUUGACCCUCACUCAAAUAAUUAAAAAGAAUUGCCAAUAAACCCACAAAACUAUAAUCAACUGCUACCAACCCAAACACACGUUCUUUUUAGCUCUCUCUAGAUUUGGGGGUGCUUCAGUUUCUUACAGAAAACUGCAACACCUGCAAGGCACUAAAGUGUUUAAAGCUAGAGACAUAUUAGGUGGAAUAAUCAGGGCAACCAUCAUCGUUAGAAAAAGGUCUUAAAUCUUCCCUCCCUUUCCUAUUCCCCUAUCACUCUAUUUUGGUACCCAGAAAGAGGAGGGUUCACAGAGCAAAAAAACCCCACAGUUUAUUUAGGGUAAAAACAGAGUUUUACUCCGAUGCCACUGCCUACUUUACUUGAAAGACAUUCCUAUGGCAGCAGGGAGCCUCCAGUCGUCUCCCAAUGAACUCAGUAGUUGUCUUUGAAUUAGAAGGAAAUGCUAUCCCCGGAUGCAAAGGCUAUUCCUUUGACAGCUGGGUGAGAAAACAAAAACAUGGACAUUGUGAAAAGAAAGUUAACGUCAACGCCCCCCUGCUCUUCUUCCAGAGCCUUUUGUUUAUUAAUUAUUAUUAUUAUUCUGUAUUGCAUUUAUAAGUUUUCCCUUCCCUUGUUACCAAUUUAUACAUCCAUCUCAUCAUGAUUAUAUUACAAAAAUGUCUAAGGUUGAAUGUGUAUAUUUAAUCAUUUUCAGGCAAUGCUUAUGUGUUAAAGCAUAUCUUUAUUUCUAAAGCAAAUAAACUGUAGGAAACCAAACAAAAACUUUGUGUUUUCAAUAUACAAAUACAACUUUGUCACAGUAUCUUUGUACGACUUUCAAAUUUUCCAUGAAAUAUUCCCUGCAUUGACAUUUUUUUAAGCAUCACAGUAAGGAUUGUUCACAGUCACAUACACUCACAGUGUUAGAAUUAGGCACUAAGAUUUCUUGUUCUAAACUGCUCCCUGUUAAAUGUUAAUUAUUAACACUUAGGGUUGAAAAGAAGGUGUUUAUGAUACAAUUCCAACACCAGGCAGUGGGUGAUAUCCAAUGUCACAUCAGGUAAUGUGAUGGGACCCCACCACUCUCCUGCUUCUUGUAGCCCCCCACCCCAUGUCACUGAUCUAUUCCAGAGGGUUCUCCAAAUCUUCAUGGCAGUUUUGGAUCAGUCGGGGAUUGUAGGAGGAAGGAAAAGAAAGGGAAAGCUUAUUGCCUAAGCAGAAAUCUGCUGCACAAGUGGGCUGCCGCAGCUGGAUGUCACCCACAGUCCAAAGACCAGACCUAGAGAAUAUUCACUUAGUAAACAUCACAUUCUUUUUUGUUGAACCUCUGCAAAAAUUUCACCUUUGUAUUUUAUUGGCAGUCUUGUUUCCUGGCAGAUUGGCAACACUGCAUUUGCACAGCGACCUACUUCUGGGCCCAGUAAAUACUGAACAGCCAGGCAUUUGAGAAGCUUUGAGCUAGUGAAUUGGAAUUUAGAAACAAUUACUCCAGGUCAGUCUUUGAGUUCCUUACUGCUAUGGCAUCAAAGAACCACACUGCUGGUUGUUGUAGACACUGAACUUCCCAGCAGCCAUUGUAUGAAAGAAGGAAGGAAGAAAAGUCCACAAGAAACCAUGUGACGUUUCCAGUCCAAAUUUAUACUAUAUGUGGUGGUAUGCUGUUACUUCUAAAUCCUUGGGGAAAAUUUUGUUCUGCUUGAAGUGAACAGUAACUGCACUGACCUCAGUAGAGCUAGGGCAUGCACAGGUUCACGUGGGAAGGUCACAAUCGUAUAGACAGCACAAUAAAAAUAUUUCCUGUUGCGGAAGUCAGUUUGUGAGGACUGAGCUGCUCUUUUGUGUAUCCUCCCUUAUUCACAUUUCCAUGACACUCGUGCAGCACUUCAAGUAUAAGGGCCCUAAUCCCGGCCACAGUAUCAGGUAAAGAGAUGCUCAUUGAGACUCACUGGCCACAUUGGAGCCUUGGCCAAUAAACCACAGUGGGCUUUGGGCUUGCAUGAGCCCCACUCCCAUGUACCCAGGAGGAAUGUGGAAGCUUUCAUUUCUAGUGUAGAUUCACCACAACUUGCCAUAUUCUUCAGACUCGACAUAUUGGAAUUUUUUGUUGCUUUGGCUCACUGAAACAAGGCAACUUAAAACCACAGGUUAUAAAUCUGAAUAUUCUAAUUAGCAUUAGCUACAGUUUAGGAUUCAGAUGACUCAUCCUUGGAGCUAUUUUUUUAGCACUCAGGUGAGGAACCUUACUCUUGCAAGCCAAUUUUGCACUUCCUUGUUUUGUAUGGGCAAUUUUGGCCCACCAGGGUGGUCUGGGUGUUCCCUACACACGGCAUCAUACAGGUAAAGGUGGGGCUUGACUCAGCCAAAAAGGCACCCUUGGCCAAAGCCUCCUUGUGCAUCUUCCAAAGCAUCUAAUAACAAACUGAUUGUCGAGAGCCUCUGAAGCGCUGCACAAAGCAGGAACACAGCAAGGGCAACCUUGCUGGAUCUGGGUGUGCAGGAGAGCUCCCUGUAGGAAACUCUGUUGUGCACCCCUACUUGCUCAAUUAGGCUAAUUUUCUAAGUAUGCAGCAGGCAGCAAGGUGCUGCUAGAAGCAAGUUUUUCCCUUAAUUUCAGAAGCUGUUUCACUGCAAACAAGGGGAAAGCUUGCUUUUAGGAGUGCCUUGCCUUCCAGACGUUUGGCACUUCAAAGGAUAGAAAUGUCAUUUGUAACACCAAGAGAUUGACAGGUAGGUCACUUACCUGUCCAAAUUUGACCCACAAGACAUAUUUGGAUAAGGAUCUGGCCCAUGGAACUAAAGACCUUCACCAGUGCUGAUUUAGCAUGAUGCCCAAACGUGGCCAGUUUCUGUUGAGGUAUUUAACUUUUGCAAAGAACUAAAAAAAUACACAAUCAGCCACUUUAUAUCAACAUUAUUUUCUUUUAAAAAGACUCAGCUUAAAAUAAACUUUUCAUUAAAAUAAAACUGUUCCUGUUUUUUUUUAAAAAAACACCCUGCAUAGUCAAAUAAUAACUAAAAUAAAAAUUUCAUUUACAGGUAAAUAGCAGAGGGUCAUGGUACUUGCAGCAACUGGUGAAGUGUAUGCUG